UAUUUAUUAAUUAAUUAUUUCAUUUUUCUUGAAGUUUGUAUAUUUAAUUAGAGAUUUCAUCAAUAACCAGCUAUAUAAUUUGUGCGGUUUUCAGCCUUGAUUAUUCCGUCAUUCGGUCUGGAUUUGUUGACUAUAAGUGCAAACAAGUGCCCUCAUGACCUGACAGACUUCCACCGCGUAACUGCUGCUUGCUUCAGAUCAUGUCCAAUAUUCGUGCAACGGUGCAAGUUUCGAGUCUUGAAGCGUAGGAUUGCAAGAAUCCCCCUGCAGUUACGGGUAAUCCCAAAACUGCCCCAUUUUUUGUCCAACAGGUUCAAAUUUAAGAAAAAUAAUGUUUACUGGUAUAUGAUUUUUGCAAGCUUCUGUUUUUCUUUUUGCUCGUCUUUUAAAUUGAUAUGGUGUGUUUCAUUAAUUAUUGUGUUUUAUGUCAUCUUAAAUGGCAAGUGAAUCAAGUGAUGUACACAAUUAUUCAAUGAGAUAAAUUUAUUAAUUGAUGUGACAUAUCACAUCAAAUUGUACGUAAAUAUGGUAUAAACAUAUGUGAUUUCCUAACAUUUUCGGAUUUUCCUAGUAAUAUUAUAUGGCGUGUUAUUGUGCUUUAUACAUACAAUAUCAAGUUUUUCUUUUUCUUUUUUAUUGGAACAUACAAUAUCAAGUUAUUAGAUUAUUUUAUGGUACUAUAUUAGGGACUGUAUACCUGGCGGUGGGACGGUUAUGAUGUAGGCAACCUUGAUCUGAAUCCGGCCCGUUGCCAUCCCUUGCUAUUCCCAAAUUGUUAUCUCUAGAUAUGCUUACUAGGAGUCCAUUAAUUGAAUAUUAUUUCAAUUUUACUAUAAAUUUGUAUAGGUAAAUGCUAGGGACAUUAAAUUAUUACUUUAAUCUAAAGUACGGUUUGAAAUUGGCACUAUUCAAAUGAACAGUGUUUCAAUUCGAAUUUCAGAUUAAUUACCACCAUGCCAUUGGUUUUUGUGUUGGUUUUGGGUCAGCAGCCCGUCCCUCAGCCAGGCCCAAAUGUGUUGGCUUUAGCAGGGAAGACCGGCCCUCAGUGAGGCCCAAAUUAUUUAAUUACAUUUUUGCCCAUCAAAGAUUACAAUCCGACGGUGGGGAUGGUGUAUUACGAAGGGCAAUUUUGUCCUCUCCGUUUUGGGCGAGUAGGGGGUCACCGGUUGGUAUCAUUUGAUGUCGUUCAAUUAGGGUUUCGGGGAGGUCUGUGAGAGAGAGAGAGAGAGAGAGAGAGACAGAGACAGAGACAGACAGAGACAGACAGAGAGAGAUGGCGAUGGAAGGAGAGCGAGGGGGAGGGGUAGGGGUCUCGGCACUGUUGUUGCAGAUGGGAGGGUCGGUAUGGUCAGAGAAGACCAUAUGGGUCGUCGGGAUUUUGGGGAGACGGGGUAGGGGUCAUCUGCAAACCCUACUGAGAGUGGGGUGUGCCGGAUCUUGUGCUGCAUGCCUCGAAUCCAAAGAUAUGUUUUGGGGGAUUUGUGAUCUUACAGAGAGAGAUGGAUAGGGAGAUAGAGAUAGACAGAGAGAGGAGAAAGCAUGGCUGUGUGCAUUUUUUGGGGUUAAUUAAUGGGUUAAUGCGCAGGGUCAGUGAGGAGAGAGUGACAGAGGGGUGUAUGGCAGGGUAUGGGUUUUCAGUUUUUCCCUCUGAUUCAAUAAGUUAUGCACUGUUUGAAAAUAAUUGUUUAUUGUUUUGUUUUCCGUUGGCUUUGUUAAAACCAUCAUUUGAAUUGUUUGGUUUCACUGUGCUCAUUUCUGGGCUUCUUCAAAAUUUUCUGGUGUUUGCUUCUCAUUCCCCUGUUGGUUGAUUUUUUUUUUCCCAUUUCUUGGUUCUUUAUGUAUUCCUUGGUUCUGUCUAAAUUUUUGCUGUGGGAUGAUGCUUGCAGGUGAACUAUAUGCACGGUUUUUUGAGACGAGUUAAGAAGAUCCACCUGAAAACAACAUACAAGAUAGAGAACUAGUAUGCUGCUUUGUCUUUCUGUUGGAUUUUGAUGUUUAUGUUCUGCUACUAAGAGGAUUUUAUAGUGUUCUAAAUCUGUUUUGUAAAUGUGCUUAAAUAUUGGACAUGUUCUUGAAUAUUAGCCAUGUUGUUUGAAUUGGAUAUGUGAUUGAAUAUUAGGUAUUUAUUUUGAAUUGAUUUGGAUAUGUGGUUUAUUGAAUUAGAAUUUGGAUAUGUGCUGAUUUGAAUUGGAUAUGUUGAAUUAGAGAUGUGCUACUUUGAAUUGGAUAGGUUGAAAAAUGACAAGCGAUGGUAAAAUAUGUUUGGAAUACACUAGAAAAAUUAGAUAGAGGCUUGAAAGGACUAGAUCGAGUACAUUUGAAAGAACUAUCAGUACAAGACAACUUUGUUUAGUGUUUUUGUAGUGGUGUUCUAAUUGCAGCUUCAUAGUUUUAGUCUAAUGUUUUUGUUGUACAGUUUUUAACAACCGAAUCUAAAAUCCCUCUGUACUUUAAAGUCUCUCCUCCAGACAUCACAUUAGAGAAUUAUAACUAUUCAACAUUCUUGGUGCAUCGGCAUAUUAAUGAUUGUAUCACAGAAUUUUGGCAAAGUUCCUUGAAUUAUUGAACAGUUAAUGCUUUCCAAAUGUUUUACUUUGAUUCAUUGUCUCACAUUUUCCAUGGUACAAGUUUACAUGAUUGCAAGCCGAUAGAAAGAGAUAUAUGUAGGGAGAAGCGGGAAUUGGGGAGAGAGAGAGAGUGAGCGAGGGGUGCGGUUGCUUUUUAAAGAUAUCUUUGAAAUUGUUUCUGCAGUUUUUUUUUUUUCUUUUGGGUGAAUUUUCUUGAGUUCUUUCUGUUUGUUUGGAAUUAUUCCAUUUUUACUGAGAUUCUUUUGGUCCCUGCCACUAAACUCUGAUUUCUGCUAUUAAUUGCUGUUGACAUGUGACUUUUGCUAUUAAUUUUGUAAAUUAAUUUAAUUAAGAUGCUCAAUGUUCCCUUAAUUGUGAUUAAGAUGGUCACAAUCCUACCAUCCUCUGUAUGCUCUGCCAUGUCCGCCGCCAAUGUUUUAUUUUUACUUUUUAACCCUUUCGUACAACAUUUAAAUAAUCAGGUGGAAAUAGUAAUUCUAUUUUUCGACAAACGAUAGUGUUAGUAGGUUAAAUUGUUAGUUGUUAUGAGAGAAGGAGAUCGUUCUAGAGAUCAAACUCUCAUAAAAAUAUAUGAUGAUUUCUGCAAAUGCGAUCAGCAGUUGCAUAUUACAAUAUACAGCUUCAGUUGGCAUCAGUUUCUUAAUGAGUGGCAUGUGAAUUCUUAAUUUAAUUUCGGAAAGAAAUGCGUUUAAAUUUGGUGGUAUGUGAUGAAGUUAGCAUUCUGUUUUUUAUUAUAUACUGGUGAUGGACAUUUUUAGCAUAUUGGAUUUAUCAUUUUCUAUAAAAUGAAGCUUCAUUCUCACUAUGUUGUUGAUGUUUUUUGUGAUUUCAGUUUAUAGUGCUUCUAAAUGCUGUUUUAAUUUAGGAAUUUGAAUAAUUGUUUAAAUGGGAUUGGAGGGUGAUAAAUAUUUCUAGCUAGGGAAAGGUCACAUCCAUGUGUUGGUCGAAUUGAUGGAUGUAAAAAAUGAAUAUGGAUGAACGUCUAGCUACUGCAUGUAGAUUCAGCUUUCCUUUGCAUUUGAGUGAGUUGGAAACCGAGUGGAACAGUUUGAGAGAGAGAGGGAGGGAGGGAGGGAGAGAGAGAGAGAGGACGAUGUUGGGAUUUUGGUAAAGAUUUGAGCUUUAGUUGUAAGCAUGCUGAUAUGAGCUCACAGUAAAACCCAACAGUAUGUAGAUUGAAUUGAGUUGGGAACUGAGUGGAAAAAUAUUAGAGAGGAUUGUGUUUUCUGAUGCGUCUUUGAGCCACUGACCAUAGGUGGAGUCUUAUACUGCAAUAUUAUGUGCUAAUCUAAUAAACCCUGCAACUUAUUCAUCUUUGUCAUGAGUAAUUUUUGGUUUUUUUCAUUGGAAUAGGGAUUUAGUGGAUGGUUGUUUUUAACGCAUAUUAGUUAAAAUGAGUUGAGUAUUGGGUGCUAAUCCCAUGUCUGCAAAUCACAGUACCCUAAGGAAGAAACACUGUCUGCACGAUCUAUAAUACCUGUUCAAGCAAGAAUCUUUUCCCAAACUAAAAAGCUUACAUAUCAAAACGUGUAAAGGAUGUGCCACUAUCAUCUUACUUUUUCAAUACCUAAACCAUGCAGUGAUGCAUGGGCUGGAUAUUGCUCCUUUCAAGUUUCAAAUCAUCAAAUGCUAAAGGUUUCUAGAUAAAUCAUCAUAGAAGUCGAUUCUGCAGAUUCCUUCUUAGUUACACUCAGAUGAUAAUGUAUUUAUAGUCCUUGACAUGUUUUUAAAGUUUGCAUUUUCAAUGUAUAUAUCAUUAACUAAGCUUUAUCAGCAGAAUAUCAUCGCAAAUUUGUUACGGAAAAUGCUAUUGCUAGAUUCUGAUUUAUCUACUUUAGUUUUAAGGAUUACACAUUGUUUUACGAUAUAAAAUAGAUGUUCUGCCUUGAUUUGAUGCGGGGGUAUGCAUUAGCUAACAUUAAUUCUGUUUAGUAUUUCUCAAAUUCAUUUUGGGUUAAAAAGUUGGAGCUUUGGAUUGGGUUUUUUCUUUAUUCAGCUAUCAUUUUCUGCUUAGGAGACUCUCUUAAACUGUCUGAAACUGUGCUCAUUAGGCUGGGCAGAGCACUGACAAGCUAAAAACAAAACAAAAACAAGCAGAAUUAUCACAUGUAGUGCAGGAUGUUGAAUGUCUUUUCCUCAUUGCAAAUCCUAAACGACCCAAAUCUGGAUGGUAAAAUACUUCGAGUUGGAAUUAAUAGGAUCGAUUGAAACAUGGAUUUUUUUUAUUAGAUUGGUAUAUCUGACUUAAUUAAGAAGUAGUUUAAGACAGUCAUUAGGGAAUUUCUGUAAUUGAACGUAGUUGUUUUCAUGAGGUUGAUAAAUACAAUAAGGUGCUUCUAUACCAAUAAGUGAUUUUAUACGGACACAUUGUAUGAUGUAAAAUGGUAAAAGGAGUACCCAUUCCUGUCCAGUCUUAUGUUUUCCGAGUCUUGCUUAUUUUUCAUUAGUCAUAUGAAAGAUGCUGCAAUACCGUGGGAUCAUAAUAGCUAAGAAACUGGACUUGGACAUCUUUAUUCUAUAGAGCGUUUGUAAAAGUAAUUUAGACUUUAUUAAGUUUAUAUUAAUCCUUCACUUCUGUUCAUUCAUUGUAAUUUCUAUUUGGUUUGUCUGCAUUUGUCUUAGGAGACUCUGUGGGGCUGCUUAAAUUUUAUAUAUUCAAUUGCAUAGAGUCGGCAUGACAUGCACAGAGAUUGUCAGAUUGCCACCCUUAGUUGGUGAUAUUAUCUUUACAACACAUUCAAAUUGAGGAUUUAGAAAAUCUAAUAAUAAAAUUGAAAUAUAUGUUCGAUGCUUUUUGUUUUCAUUUUCGGUUAAAAGGUUUCAGCUUUGGAUUGGUAUUUACCUUUAUUAAUCUAUAAUUUUGUGCUCAGGACACCAUCUUGGGGGUCUUAAUAUGAUUGUUCUUCUAUUUCAUAGACUCAAAACGUGUUUAGUGUCUCAUUUAAUUGGUGUACCUUUGCUCAUUUAACUCAAAUUUAAUACGAUUUGGUCCUCCAAUUUCUCUAAAUUGCUAACGGAUUUAUUUUCUUUGGAAAUUUCAGGAACUCUGGUUGUGGUAGGAACAAGCCGGCUCCUUGCUAUUUUUAGGUAUAUGAUUAUGUGCCUUGAUUGCAUGUUCAAAGUCUAAUUAGUUAUAUAAACUUUUAAUUUAUCUUUGCAAAGCUUUUGUACUUGGAUUUUAGAUAUGUGAUUGGUUUUUGAAAAAUUAAUGAGAAGGCUAAUCAUGGGGACAUUCUUAUUUCUGAAAUUUUCUCUUCAGCAUUGUUUCUUGAAUAAAUUUGGAUUGGUAGAUGUAGGGGUAGAGCAACACCCGUGGUGUAAAUAAAAGGUAUAGGCGUAAUGAUUUCUAGGUUUAGAAUUCAUUCAAAAAUAUGAUAUAAUGCUGCGUUCUCUAAUUUUUUUUUUUUGCUGUUUGCUGUUCUAAACUUUUGAACUCCUUUUUGGAUUGAUCUUUGUUAUUUUGUUUUUGGGGGUAUCUGAUAGGUCAAGGUUGCCUAAUCUUGGUUGUACUUUUUCCCAAGACAUGGCACAUUUGAAACUUUGAAUUCUUGAGUUUAUAUUUUAAUUCUCAUUAGUUAAUGCGUAAUAUUUGGCCUUUUAUUUUGAGAUUAGAAUGAAUACGUUUGGCCUGAAAGACAGUAAACUGAAUUAAAAGCUGGCUUAUUUUCCAUUGGCCAUCAAUUAGGGUGAGAAAACAUUGAAUUGAGAUCCUUAAACAGCGCUCAUAUAGGGUACUAUACCAAAUGAGCUCGAAGAGGACUCAGCAAUUGAAGAACAAUUGAUGGGCAUACACCUUGGACAUGAUUAAGUUAGUUGAACAUUAUACUAUAACAAGUACAUAUUUCUGCUAAAGGACCAUACCAAAUAAGGAGUCAGGUUCACACACAGACACGCACACACACAUCUGAUGUAAAGUUAUUCUAUUAGAUGGUUUCCAGAUUGACCCCCCCUUGCUAAAUCUAUUUCAAGGCUGGAAGGAGAGUUAAAACAUAUGUUAUUGUCUUAUAUGUUUGUAUUUGAAUGGUAACGAUGUUGUUCUUCUGGUGGAAAAAUUUUCCUUUGAAUCCAUUUCAGCUUAGGCUCUACUUUUUUAUUUCAUUUCAACGUCAUUUUCAUGUUCAUCAUGCCCUGUUGGUAUGUGUUUUGUGUUGGCAUUGGAGGGUGGUGGGUUGUCGUUUUGUUUUUCUUUUCUUUGAUUGUAAGACCUUCUAACGAUUGAAUUUAUUUUAUGCGACUCAUUUUGAUCCCCUAGUUUGAGUUUUUCAGUUACGUAUCAAUACUUAACUGCUGGAUUUUUCUUAAGGAAAUUGGAUAUAGGCUAUAUACUAUGUGCAAAAUUCAUGGAGAUCAAGUUUUUGUUGGGUUUUUGACUCAAAAUUAGGAUGAUGCAAUAAAUUAGGUUUGUGUUACCUAUUUGGUUUUGGUGUCCUAUUUGGGUUUGGUUUUGACUUCUUAGUUAGUUUCCUUGGUGGAGAGAUUUUGUUAAUUACCUAUUUGAUUAGGAUUUGGAUUUAUUUCCUAUUAGGAUUCAUAUUGUAACCUAAGUCCUAUGCACUAUAAAUAGGACCUUAGGGUUAGUGUAUUUAGUGUGGCUCAUUCGUGUGGCAAUUUGGUGAGAGUCAAGUUUCAGGCCCUAGGAAGUGGGAGGAAAGCUAAAGCUUUGUGGGGUUGUCUGGUCUCGGCAGUUUUUUGGAACAUUUGGCUGGAGCGUAACAAAAGAAUUUUUGAGGAUUAUACAGGUGUGGGGGUAGAAGUACUUUGGGGAAGAGUAAAAUAUUGGGCAGCCCUUUGGGCUUCAGUCUCAAAUGUUUUUAAUAAUUACUCUAUUUCUCAAUUACUGUGGGAUUUGUUAGCAGCAGUAAAGUGAGUUAGGUCUAGCUAAUGUUGCUGUAGCCAAAUCCUAGUGAGAGUUUUUUCUUGUUUCUUGUUAAUGGUGGAUUUCUUAUCCACUCCAGUGUAUUUCUCUUUUCUUCUAUAAAAUGUUUUGUUUCUUCUCAAAAAAAAAAUUUGUGAGUUUGUGAGUUAGAGAGCAAUUUGGGAGAAUCUUCUCCGUUAGUUUUGGGUUCUCUACUCGUUUGGUUUAGGGUUUGUAAUUUGUGGGAUUUGGGUUGUGAGAGUUUAAACACUCUUUUGUAAGCUCCAUUUGUUUAGUGAAAUUCCUCGCCGUGCUUUGCUCGUGGACGUAGACUUUACACCGAACCACGUAAAUCUCUUGUGUUAGUUUGAGAUUGUUUGUUUUAGCUUUCACCUACGACGUUGAUAUUGGUACUUUGUUAGAAUUCGCUUCCGUUUGUGCAUAAAAGUACAACAGUUUUGUGCUUUCAUUUGUCACAACGCAGUUUUUUGUUUUCAUAAAUGAAGUUUUGUGCUUUCAUUUUAUUUAUUUUAUUUUGUCUUUCAGUCAGUUUUUCGUUUGAAAGAACUCUUAAUUUUCAUGGAAAUAUAGUUAUUUGUGAAUAUGGAAACUUGAUACUGUGUAGACAUCAGAGUUCGUAUGUUUGUGAUAUGAAAUUUAAAUACAAGCUUCCCAAUUUGUUUUUGGAAUUUUAACUAAACUCGCGUUAUAGGUAGAUCAUGUAUUAAGAUAACAAAAAAGAUAGGUAGAUUUGUGUAUGCGAUGAGUUGUAGUGAACAUUUGGCAGUAAUAGAAAUGGUUUAGGUGUGCUCAGUUUUGGCCUAAAUGGUUAUCACACGAGCGUAAAUGUUUGUUUCAUUUGUGAUUGAACUUGAAUUCGUUGGAAAGCUUUUCAAUUUAUGAAUAUGGAAAGCUUUUCGUCUUUACUUUUAAACUUAUUUUCUGUUUGGUUGUUGAGAAGGUGAUGGAAAUAUAGUUAUCUGUUAAUAUGGAAACUUGAAUCUGUGUAGACUCCUUGGGUUGUCUGUUGGGUUCAGUGGAGGUUUAGUGUUUUAAUUUUGAAUGAUUUGUUUUUCGUUUCAUGGAAAUGACCUAUUAUUUGAUAUUAUUUGAUUUAACUGAGUAAUUUAAUGGAAGUAUAUUCUCUUUUUUUCUUUUCCAUAUUUCAUUUUGUCAGCAACCAAACGAGUUAAGGAACUGUAAUCUUUUUAAUUACUCUGCUAUCUCCGUGAGUUAUGAAUAUCAGACUUUUUGUUUUAUUUCUAUAUAUGUAGUUCCGAAGGAAUCAAGUGCCAAAAUUAGAAUAAAUAUCCUUUAGUCACGUUACACACUUUUCCAUAGAAUGUUUGGUUCAGGGAUCCCUUAUACAAGCACAAUAUUCUUAUGUAUUUAAAUCAUAGUUGACUGUCAUGGUUUAAUAAGUGUGAAAACUGUCUUAACUAUACCAUUGGAGCGUUACAGUUUUAGUUAUUUUAUUGGAUCCGUUUGUUAGCACUUUGAAUUCUUUUGAUUUCUUACUCUGAAUCUCACUCAUUUUUUGCAGUUUAGAUUGGACUCUCAUCAUAGCAUUGUAAUAUGAUCUUGCUGCUGCGAUUAAUCUGACAGUUCUGAGGCGUUGCAUUUGAAUCAAGACUUUGGUAUGUUAGCUGAACUUCAAUGCAUUCUUUUCCCAUUCUUUCUGUUUGAGGCAGCGCAACUUUAUGAUUUUUUUAUUGAUUGUUUGGGUUGAUCGUCUUAUGUUAUCCAUUUGCUUUGUGCUUUGUUUUUCAUUCUUGGUUGUCUCUGUGAUCGUCUCAUUGUCCAGAUGUUGGAUGGUUUUUUAUUUUAUUUUUUUAUUCUAAUUUUGUUUGAAGGUCCGUGCUAUCUCUGUGAUUCUGGUUUAACCCAGUGCUCUUAAUUCUUUAUCGGAUGUUGUUGGCCAUUUUAUCUCUUUUAUUAGUGGGAAAAGGCUUUGUUGUUGUUGUAUUCUGUUAUUGGUUGGUUGGUGUUUUCGUUUGGUUUUCUGAUAGUGAACUAUCUCAUCCUCCCCAAAGUGUUUUAACAUGUUUUGUUGAUAACUGCGCUCUCUAAACGACCUAGAUAUUUUUUUAGAAAAAUCACGACUUCCAUAUUUAAGAAAAUGAGUGGCUUUUUAGCAAAUGCAUGAAUGCAGCUAGAUGUUCAGAAAAAUUCACGGAUAUUUACAUUCAAACCACAAGUAUCAUUAACUUAUAAAUAAUUAAGUUAUGUAUUUUCUUUAUCGGCCAUCACUUCAAAAUUUGAAUUAAAACACUGUCAAAAUGCUUUUUGAUUGUGUUUUCUUUAUUCAUUAUGUAAGUUUGGCAAAUCUUCUACAUGCUGCAUAUUUUUUUGUUUGAACAUCUAUGGUUGACGAGUUACCUGCUCAAACACCACUUUUUCUGUGUUUUGCUAACUGCUAAGUGAGGCAUGUAGGUUGCAGAGCAUAUAUUUGGCCGUCUUAACUAUGUGUAAACUGCAGCUUCCUUCUGUUUCUUCAGUUUCAUAUGGAAACAGGCCUUCUGUUUUUUUGGCCUUUGAACAAUUGUGGUUCCAAAAUUAGCUACUUGAACAAGUCCUCAACACUUUCUGUUUUACAUUACCUGUUGAACUAGCUGCCUACACUGCAGGACACAUGUUAUUUGUGAACUAAAUGUUUCUUCUGUUUCUUAAGUAAACAGAAAUUUUUUGGAAACCAUCUCUUUCUAAUCAAACACGUACAAUUUCUUCCCACUCAUUGUGCAUUGUGUUUAUAUGCCAACUCACUUAAAUAUGUAUAAAAGCAAAAUUGCUUAUCUUACCGGCCUCAUUCACUCAUGUAUCCCUCUGUUUGUUUGUAAUUGUGUUGAAUUUAUUCAACUUAAAUGUGUUUUAUCCAUCUGAUUAUGUCUGAAACAGUGGUUCCCGCAGCAACGCGCGGGCGUAUUUUCUAGUUUUUAACUAAAUUUUGCAAACUAAAUGACAUGAUUGUUGAUGAGUGGAUUAUUAUUUUAGUGUUGAUAAACAUGCUUAUUUUCUAAGGAAAACUAAUGAAAAGGGCUUGAAAACUUUGCGUUUUAACAAUAAGGACAAAAUAAAGGGUAAAGUGAAUAGUAUCAUGAUUGACUUUUUAGUGUAAAAAUAUGGUUUUUCGUUAAAGUGAACAGUACCAGGAGCUUUUCAUUAACGUUCCCUAUUAUCUAGUGGUGACACAUCAUUUAGUUUAAAAUUUUAUUCUCCUUGGCAUUACCCAUUUGUAUAUGAUUGCGGAAUCAAUAAUUAGUUCUCACCAUUUGAAUUUGUGCAGUUGUGACAACAGAUCAAGCUUCCAAAUUUCCAAGGAACUAGUCUUUGACUGUUGAUCUUCCCUUCAUUGAGUCUGUAUUUGUUGAUCACAAGCGGAGUCAGAUUUGAACUUCCAUGUAAGUUCUUAUUAUUCAACUGAAUAAUACAUUAGUUGUUUCUCAUUUUAUUUGAACUACUUUUUAUUCAUUUGUUUCUUCACUUAAUUUGUGCAGCUCUGCACCUCAAUAUUGCUCAAGAGCGGUUCAGUCUUUCUUUGAUUGCUUGGAGUAAUCCUCGCUCUUAAUAUGGUACUGGGAGAGGUUUUUCUUGGGGCGUUUCUACAGGUGCUGCUAGACAGGUUGACCCCUCGCGAGGUUCUCAACUACUUUGGAAACUUCCGGGGCCUUAGAAAGAAGCUGGAGAAGUGGAGGGCCACGUUAUCUACAAUCGCAGCGGUGUUGAGCGACGCUGAGGAAAGACAAGUGACUGACCAUCCUGUAAAACUGUUGCUUGAUGAUCUCAGAGACCUCGCUUAUGAUGUCGAAGACAUGUUGGACGAAUUUUCCACUCAAAUGUUGAAGCGCACAAUAGAGGGACGUGAUCAAGCUAGCACGAGCAACAAGGUGCGGAACUCAUUUUUCAAAAUUAAAUUCAAUUGGGAUAUGAGCUCCGAAAUGAAGAAGAUUACGGAGCGGUUGCAAGACAUAUCUGAACGGAAAGAUAAGUUUGGCUUGAAAGAUACUGGGACGUCUGCUAAGGAAUCGCGACGUCUACCUAGUUCAGACGUGUUAGAUGAAAAGCUUGUUGUUGGAAGAGAUGGUGACAAAGGGAAGAUUAUUGAAUUGUUGUCAAGAAAAUACGAGCAUGCAGGUGCUGUCAAUUUUGAUGUAGUUGCUAUAGUUGGCAUGGCCGGAGUUGGGAAGACGACACUUGCUCAACUUGUAUUCAACAACAAAGAUGAUGCCAUGAAGGAGUUUGAGCUCAAGGUCUGGGUAUCUGUGUCCGAUGACUUCGAUGUGGUGCGAGUGACAAAGGCAAUUCUUGAAUCAAUCACAUCCCGACCCGUUAAAGUGCAGGAGUUUAGUAAAAUGCAGCAUAAUUUGAGUGAGCAAUUAAGAGGAAAAAAGUUUUUAAUCGUUUUAGAUGAUAUUUGGAACAAAGGCGACUAUGAUCUAUACGAUCUCUGGACAAGACUUCAAUCCCCUUUUGGCGUCGGAGCAGGAGGAAGUAAGAUAAUUGUGACAACCCGUGACAGGAAUGUUGCAAAGACUACGGGAGCCGCUGGAGUUCAUAAUUUGGAGUGUAUGGCAGAUGGUGAUUGUUUGGAAAUAUUUGAGCGACAUGCGUUCGGGGAAAUUAAUAAUGGAAAGCCGGUAAAUUAUGAUUUAAUUGGGACAAAAAUUGUUGAAACAUGUCAUGGAUUACCAUUAGCUGCGAGGACUCUCGGUGGUCUUCUACGUUGCAAAGAAAAAGAUGAGUGGGGAGAAAUAUUGAACAACAAGUUAUGGAAUCCAGCAGAUAAGAGUGGCAUUCUCCCCGUACUAAAGUUGAGCUAUCACUAUCUUCCAUCACAUUUGAAGAGGUGUUUUGCCUAUUGCUCCAUUCUUCCAAAUGACUAUGAAUUUGGGGAGAAACAGCUCGUCCUUUUGUGGAUGGCAGAGGGUUUGAUUCAACAAAAACCUGACGACAAUAAACAAAUGGAGGAUUUGGGCCGCGACUACUUUCGAGAGCUAUUAGCAAGGUCGCUGCUUCAAGGAUCAAGCAAAAACAAUUCACGAUAUGUAAUGCAUGACCUCGUUAAUGAUUUAGCACAAUGGGCAGCAGGAGAAAUAUGUUUUAGGUUGGAAGAUAAGCAAGGUGAUAACUUGCAAAGCACUUGCUUUCAAAGGGCUCGCUAUUCGUCUUUCAUUGCUGGUGAUUUUGAUGGAGUUAUGAGAUUUGAGGCCUUUCCAAAACUUGAACGCUUGCGAACAUUCCUGCCACUUUCGCUUUCAGAUUCCAGGUGGUGGUGGAAAUAUUUGUCUCGUAAGGUUAUUUUCGAGUUAUUACCACAGAUGAAAUACUUACGAGUGCUCUCUUUCAAUGGCUAUAAAAUAACUGAGCUGCCAAAGUCAAUCGGUGAUCUGAGGUUGUUACAGUAUCUUGACCUUUCCUACACAGAUAUAACCUGUUUGCCUAAAUCAACAAGCACUCUUUACAACUUGCAAACAUUGAUAUUGGAGGGUUGUUCUAAAUUGAAGUCAUUGCCCACAAACAUGAGUAAUCUAAUUAAUUUGCGCCAUCUCAACAACUCAGGUGCAUCUUCAUUGGUAGGAAUGCCUUCACAACUAGGUCGAUUGACGAAUCUACAAUCAUUGCCUCUUUUUGUGGUGAGCAAAGGUAGUGAUCAACCAGGGGUAAGAGAGAUAGGGCCCCUAUUGCAUCUCCGAGGGACACUGUGCCUCUCAAGAUUGGAGAAUGUGACUGAUGUCGAGGAUGCCAGGAGGGCCAACUUGAUAUGCAAGGAGAGGCUUGAUUCGUUGGUCCUAAAAUGGUCUCAUUCAAGCGACACGAGAAAAACAGAAACCGUUGUGCUUGACAUGUUACAGCCUCAUACAAAGCUCAAGGAGUUCACUCUCAAGAGUUAUGCCGGAAAGGAAUUUUCAUCAUGGGUUGGAGGUUCUUUCUUCUCUAAUAUGGUGCUUGUGCGCUUAGAGGAAUGUAACAAUUGUUUAUCGUUGCCACCUCUCGGACAAUUGCCUCGUCUCAAAGAGCUUUAUAUUAGAGAAAUGAAUGCAGUCGAAAGUGUUGGUGCUGAGUUUUAUGGUGAGUGUGUCUUGCCCUUUCCGCUGUUAGAGAUUCUGGAGUUUGUGGAUAUGCGGCAUUGGAAGGUGUGGCUUCCUUUCCAACUGGAUCAAGGAAGUAGUGUUUUCCCUUGCCUGAAAAGGCUUUCAAUCAAAGGAUGUUCUAAGUUGGAAGGCAAGCUGCCAGAGAAGCUCGAUUUGUUAGCCGAACUUGAAAUUGUUAAAUGUGAGGAAUUGGUGGUUUCGAUUGCCAAUUGCAAACAACUUCGUCAAAUAAACAUUGACAGUUGUAAAGUGUUGGUACAUACAGAUGCUAAGGUUGAGUUUGAGUUGUUAGAGUCCUUGUGCCUUUCAAACAUUUCGGAGGUGAUGUCUCUGCAAACAGGGGAAUUGUUCAGGAAGGGAUUAAGCAAGGCUAGAGAUUUGAAGAUUAAUGGAUGUGAGAAGCUGACGUCGUCAUUGAAGAAUGAGGGUAGAUUAUUGCAGCAGUUGACUUGUCUUGGCCGUUUGGAAAUUGAAGACAACUCUCCUCUAGUUGAAGAAUUGGGAGAAGAAGCAGAGGAGUUGCUGCAAUUGCAAAUAUUGGAGUUAAAAAAGUGCGAAAAUCUUUUGAAGCUACCAAAAGGAUUAAAUGAGCUGUCGUCUCUUCAAGAGCUUCGCAUACACAAAUGUUCACGUCUAGUUUCUUUUCCAGAAGUUGGUCUGCCACCGUCUCUUAAAAACAUCGAGAUUAGAGAGUGCCAUUCGUUGAUAUAUUUUGCAAAAUUCCAGAUUCCCCAAUUUCUCAGAAGAAUAGAGAUAAGUAAUUGCAGAAGUUUGAAAUCACUAGUAGAACCGAACGGGUUAUUCAGCGACAACACCAAUCACUGCCUUGAAUAUAUUAGGAUCUGGAAUUGCCAAAAUCUGGAAUCCUUACCGGAUGGCUUAUGCCACCUUAGCAAUCUUCAAACUCUAAUUAUUGGGAACUGUGGAAGUCUUGUUUCCAUCCCGAGACUGAGUGCGGAGAGAAGACCCUCCAACCUGAGAGAUAUCAUGAUCAACGAAUGCGAGAAAUUGGAGGCGUUUCCCGAAGACAUGCACAAUCUCAACUCUCUUGAGGGAUUGAAGAUCGACUACCGUAAAGGUUUGACUUUUCCUCCCAACCUAACAUCACUUGAAAUUUGGAAGGUCAAGAGCUGUAAGUCAUUGUGGGAGUUGGAGUGGGGGUUGCACAGACUCACCUCUCUUAGAAAGUUGGGGAUCAGUGGAAAAAACACACGUACGGUGUCGUUUCCACCUGACAUAGUCCGGAUGGAGCCGCUCCUCCCCAAAUCUCUCACUGAACUCAGAAUAGAAGGCUUCCCGAAUCUGAAGAGACUGAGCAGCAAGGGCUUUCAAUUCCUCAACUCCCUUCAAUCUCUGCAACUCUCUAGAUGUCCAAAGCUAGCAUUCAUUCCAGAGGAGGGUCUGCCUCCUUCACUUGGUCAGCUUAUCAUCUAUAAGUGUCCUGUGCUAAAAGUGAGAUGCCAACCAGGAAAAGGACUCUACUGGCACAAAAUAUCCAACAUCCCUAAAAUAGAGAUACAUGAAGCUAAUGGUCCAGGUAUCAUCUCUCGAGGAAUGUUUUAAUAUUAAUAUUAUUAUUAUUAUUAUUAUUAUUAAUCAUGUUUAUUCUUGUAAAGUAAUCCACAAUAUUUGGUUUGGGUCAAGGUUUUGGGGGUUGAGGAGUGGCUGCUUUAGGAGGCCUUCAAUUGGCGACAACCUGGAUACUUCUCGGCCAACGUUUCUUCUCCCGGAUUCCUAUGUUUGCUGAUAGCACUACCCUUUCAAAUUUUAUUAGGUCGAGCUUUUUUCAAUUUUCAAAUUUAAACAUUUUUUUGGGUCAACAGUCCAAUAAUUCGAACUUGUUUUAUCUUUCAUUAAGAUAAUUCUACCAAAAACCUGACCUCAUUUUGUAUCAAGCUUGAGCUUUUAUGAAAUCAUUUGAGUCAAACUUGAGCACAUAUUUACGAGCUUUAUUUGGGACUGACCGAAUUUGAAUCUUGAGCAAUGUUUGUUAAACCAAGGUCAUUUAAUUACGAUCUGAGUUAUUAAUAAGUUGUGUUGUUUUGUGUUGGGUUAGUGGGUCUUGCAAGACAUUGCUUGAUGUUUAAAUUUGACAAACAAUAUUUUAUCAAGUUCUUGAUUCUACAAGUAUCCAACUCGUUAAAAGGUUCUUAAUGAGCAGCUUGAUAACGAAUCGACUUGUUAACAUAUUAACUCGAAACCUGCUAUUUUUAUGUUGUUUUAUAUCGAAUUAACGGGUCGUGUAAAAAAUUAUCAAACCUAACCGGAUCAUGCCAAACUAUUGAUGGUCAAUGACUUAUUUGAAAGUGAUUUUAAAGUGACUGAAAUUGAUUUCAGAUUCCAAAAACACUUUUUAAGUGCUUUUUGGAAUAAUCUUGGGCGUCUCCACCCAUUGCCAAUUGGUUUCGGGUUGGAUGCUCAAUUUGUAAUUAGAAUAACAGGUAUUGUUGUUUUUUUUUAUUAUCUUUCAUUGUUUGAGUGGGGGAUAUAAUCUUUAUACAAAUUGCUUCCUCAUGGUUUUUAUGACUGGUUUCUGUAUCUACUUUUAAUGCUUAGUACAUUAAGGGCAUCGGGUACUUCCUAAGUUCUCAUGGUCAAGUGUUUGUAUGGUUCUGUAUGUAUGUUUGUGAUCUUCAUCCCGACUUUGAAUGCGUAAACUAGAUGGAUGAAGAGGUUUUGUUGUUAUUGCCUUGCCCAACACAAGGAUUUCUUUAAGGGCUAAAUAGAUUUCUUUUAACUGGGUUCUUAUGUCUUCGACGAAGGUUAGAGUUCUUUAUCCUUUUUGGUAUUUCAGUCAAUUGGUGUAUCUUUCGACAUCUGUGCUAAGUGCUUCGUGAAAAUUGAUAUAUGUUGUCUAAAUGGUUGUGUUUCAGUUGCCUUUUCUGAGCUUCUUCCUUCCUGUCUGAUAUCUAUUUUCUAUCCUUCGUCAUAGGAUAUUAGCUCCAUGGUGUGCUGGUUGCUUUAUGUUUGUAUAUUCUCGUGUUUUUUCAUUACAGUGUUGAACUCAGUGAAAUGCUAGUAUGAAUUGGAGUGGUUCCCAUUGUCUUUGAGUGAUUCCUAUCACAACAAUCAGGGAGGAAAUCCCUCUCUUUUUUUCACUCUAGGACUAUCCAAAAGAUGCAGCACUGAAGAAGAGUUAGGACUUUAACUCAGUGUCGCAAAAACCUACUACCAAGAGAAAGUUUGUAAGCACUUAUGUUCCGACUCAGAUCCUUACCAAAGUUUUUUUGAAAGUUGAAAUGAUAUAGCACUAGGCCCAAGGUUGAGAGCAGGUUAGAAUUGUUAGAUUGGUGUUUGGCAUGUAAAGACUAGUGGUAUGAUAUUGGGGUACGUUUUUAGGUAUAUGGGGCCAGUACCUGUAAGCUUGAAGACAACCUAAAUAUGCCCGGGAUGUAACAGAGUGCUUGCCUAUACUUCUGUUUUUGUAGUUAAGAGAACGUAAUUGCUUAGCAAUCAUUAAAUUUGUAUACUUAUUACUUGGGUGCCCUCUGCCUUGCUAUGCUGCAUAACAAUGAGAAUAUAUUACGGAAUUCUAACAGGAAAAAGGCAGGGGACUCCCAAAAUUUGGUGAAUGGGACGUCAAUGAUCCUGCUUCGGCUGAGGGGUUUACUGUGAUCUUUAACAAGGCUAGGGAUGAGAAGAAGACAGGUGGAAAACCCGAGUCACCAGGAAAGGUUGAUCCUAAUAUCAGGCAUGGAGGAGGAGUGGAUCCUGGCACUAGCAGGCCUUCGUCUGUAAGAUUUUUUCUCAUAACUGUUGUCGUUUCUUUCUCUAAUGAUUUGAUAUAUACAUGGGUCAGCCAAUAGAAAUACAUUCUUUGCGGUUUUCUUAGUUGCAAGUUAUUGCUUUUCAAGUGACGUUGGUAGUACAAAAUACAACUAUAUGUAACACUGACUUAUCGAUCAAACUCAGCAUACCAUUUGAUGUGAAAAUCAAUGCAACUGACUUAUAUAGAACUCUAGUAAGGAAAUGUGGCAAAAGACAUAUCUAAUGUUAGGGCCAAGAUAUUUGAAAAAUAAAAGAGCACAAGAUGAUUCGGCUGUUUUAUCUGGAUUAUUCCAUGCAAGUGGAAUUGGCAUACAUUAACUCGGGUUCUGUCUCCUUUUAGACAGAUGUAGCCUAAUAGGAAUAUUUGUUUGUUUUAUUGUGAAUAAUUGAAAGAACCAAUGGCCCUGGAAAUAUUUGCUUUUGUCAAUUGAUCAUUGUGUGACCUUUUCGUUUUUUCUAUGCGUUUUCUGUACCUGCUGCGUUUCCAAUAGUAGACUAAUAGAAUGAAUAACUGGAGGUGAUUAUUUCUGCUGCCAAAAUCUAAUAUGCUUAAAUUCCUCACUCUUUGCGGAUGAUUUGAUUUGGUUUGAUUUCCUGAUGCACAGAAAAAAUGGUUUUGCUGCAUUCAUCAACCACCGGCAGAGUUUUGACAAUGUUGUUCUCCUAAGUGCUUCGAUGGAGGAGCACGAUGUUCUGUAACUGGCUCCACUAUAUUUCCUCACUUAAUCUAUGUCUAUGAAAUUGGCAGCUAGGGAAGUGAAGUUUGAAGCAAUGGUUAGCAGUUUGCCUAAGGAAAUCGUACAUGAUAUCCUUUUGAGACUACCUCCUAAAGCUUUGAUCAGAUGCACCUCGGUGUCCAAGCCUUGGAACUCCAUGAUAAAAAGUCCAAGCUUUAUUCGCACCCACCUCAGCCUUACCAUCGAUUUUAACCAGUUUGGCACCCACCAACUCCUUCUGCAUUGUGUUCGUGGAGACAAUCCAGUGGAGCAGAAUUACUAUUUGCAUUAUGAUAACCAUGCUUUUGAUGAGUACUGCAAGCUAGAGUAUCCAAGUGUUCCCAAGCGCAAUAGAUUUCUUCGUGUGGUCGGAAUGCGAGGAUCCGAAUGCUUUUUAUGAGGCUUAUUCACUUGCUAGAGGCUUGUGGAGUAGUCCUCGUUCUUUUGAUCCCGUUUGUAAAGUUUUAUUCUUGCAAAUUUCAGGCUUUUGUGAACGGGGCAGUUCAUUGGCUGGCAUGGCGCUGCUUGAACGAUGGUCGUUAUCAAAAUUUCAUUUUAGCAAUUGAUGUGGACGGUGAGUUAUUUUGCGAGAUAAGGGUGCUAAAGAGUUUCAGACAGGAUGAACCAUUAGAUUAUCACUUGUCUGUUUCAGGUGAUGGAAACUCCAUUGCUAUGUUCACGACGACGCGUGGUCGUAAUUGUCCUGAGGAUUUUCUUGACAUAUGGGUGAUGAAAGAGUAUGGCAUCGAGGAUUCAUGGGCCAAACUGAUAACUCUCCACCGUAUCCGGAAACAAGGGUGCCCUACAAGCCCUUAUGUUUUAGGAACAGUGGUGAAGUGGUGUCCUGACUUUAUCACUUGUUCUAGAAAAAAACGUCGCAUGUACUGGGAUUUUCUCCGGGAUGCCUUGUGAUAUUCUGACAUUGCUGGAUUCUUGUUAGAGAUGAACAUUUUUCCUUCUGUUUGUCUGUUAAUUUACAGACCUAGAAGAAGUUGCUUAUCACAUGUUGCCAAUGUUCAUGGAUAUAUACAGUUAUAUUAAUUUCCUUGAAAUUUCUUGUGACAUUUUUUUAGCUCUAAUAAGAUUUAUCUCUCGUCACAAGACUUUUACAAUAACUUGUGCUCCUAUGGUCUACCAAAAUAAUAAUAUUGCAGUAGAGACUAGUAGUCUAUUAUUAAUUGUGUGUUCAACUUAAAGCAGCGAGAAAAAUGUGUACCUUUUUCUUUUCUUUUUUUUCAAAGAAUUUUUUAUCUUUUUCCUCUGGGAGGAGGAUUGUCUGCCCUCCUAGUUUCAGUGCCCUUCCAUGCCAUCUUGAUUGUGUGGUCAUGGUUAAGCCACGUUAAUAUUUUAUAUUACUAUUUAUUUUUGUCUUAUUAUAUCUAUAAAAAAACAAUAUAAAAUAAUGAUGUGGCUUAACCGUGACCACACAAAACAGGAGGGCAUGGAAGAGCAUUGAAACUAGGAGGGCAGACAAUCCUCCUCCCUUCCUCUGACCCUUGCAUGCAGGUUUGGCAGUAAAGUAAGAGUUUCCACGCAAUUAAAAUAAUGGCAAACUAGUCUUUCGGUUUUGCACGAAGAUAGGAUAAUUUAUACUAAAUUAUUUUUUUGUCUUUUAUUAAAGAAUCAUUUAAAAAAAAAAGUUUUUAAGUGUUUGGGAUCUUUUAAAUACCAAUUUCAAUACAGCUAUUAGUUCAAGUAACAUAAUUUUUAGUUUAGGUACCAAUGAAAAAAUCAACUAAAAUAAUUCUAUAAAUACUAUUAUAAUUCAAAAUAAUUAUAUGAUUGCCGUGUUUUCCGACCAGCCAACUGUAUUCGCAACCACCUCACCCUUACAAUCAAUCUUAAUAACCAGGUUUCGACUAACCUCCUUGUACUGCAUUGUAAACGCAUACAUGAGCCAAGGGAGGAGCAUUACUAUUUUUGCAUUAUGAUAAAUAACCAUGAUUUUGAUGGGUAAUGUAGACUAGAAUUUCCAAUCAUUCCGAAGGGAGAAUGGUUCAAUAUGACCUAUAGACUACAAGAACUCAAAUUCCUUAUUUGUUAUCUUCUGUAAACCAUUCAUCAGAGCUCUUGACAGGCAGUGACCAUAUUUGAGGAAUGACUAGACGCAUGUUGGGGCGCCAUCAUGACUUCAUGGGUGAACAAUAGAAUUUCGUGUGUAAGUUUCUCUCCACAUACAUCGUGUUAACUUUGUUUUUCUAGUUUCCUAGCAUGUUCCAGUUCGUGCAUUUUCAGUUUUUGGAUAGUGGAAAGGUCAAGUUGGUAGCAAAUUGACACGGCGAAGACGUAAGUCUAAAAUUCAUUGUCACUAAUUCAAUUUACCAAGCUUAAUUGGCCUCUCUUAACCUACAAAAUUGUCAUAAUAAACUAGUAAUUUCACUUCAUGAAAAUCUUGCUCAAUGUUGUUUGACUUGUUUCCCUUCCUAAACAUCGAGAUGUUCGUUAAUUAUAUGCUAAUAAGUUCAUCUUCAAAUGGAUCAUAAAUUAAUAUAGCUAUGUGACUAAUUAAGUAGUAUAACUCCAAAAUGGUAAAGCAUAAUCCAUGAUAAUUUUGGUAAAUCUGGUGUCGGCAGGAUCAUGUUCAUCUUCUUCGUGUUGUGUGGCUCAGGUUGUUUAAGAGUUUUUUACUAUUUUAAAUUGAUUCUCUAUAUUAUCUACAAUGGCCUACAAAAAACUGAACCAAACACCCCCACAAAGGAAAGGGGUCCUUUUCAGAUCCUUUCGACCUAAUUAUCUUCAUCAAAUAAUCCGUGUUCUUAAAAUUUGAUUCAACAACUAAAAACACGGAUCUAUUUUAAAAAUUAUAAUAACUUUAGUUGUUGAAUCAGAUUUCAAGAACCUUAAUAAAGAAGAUUAGGUAAAAGGAAUCAAGAAAUGAUCCCUUUCGAUCACAAAAUAAUAUAAUCGGUGUUGAAAGGAAUGUAGCUCAGUUGUUUACCAGCAGUCACUCAUAACGUUUGGUUCCCCCCCAAAAUCGGUGUUGAAAUGAUCCCUUUCUCUCACACUCUUUUUUUUUUACUUCUCACAUACCUCUUGUUAACUUCUGUCAUUUGAUCUACUUCCAUUUAUCCGAUCCAACGGUCAAAAAUUAAAAGGGUGUGUGAGAGGUAAAAAUUGGUGUAUAGAUAUCACACCCUUUUACUAAAUCCUAAAUUGUACAACUCCUUCAAAUAUAUCAAGGACGAAUAUGGUAUCUUCUACAAACCAUCCAGUAGAGCUCUCAGCAUGCAAUGACCAUAUUUAGGGAAUGGACUAGACACAUGUUGGGGCAUUAUCAUGACAUCAUGGGUUAACAAUACAAUUUGUGUUUAGUCUCUCUUCACAUACAUUACGUUAACUUAGUUUUUCUACUUUCUUAGCAUGUUCGGGUUCGUGCAUUUUCACCUUUUGGGUAGUGGAAAGGUCAAGUUGUUGGGAGACUUAUUAGUAAAAAGCAAAUUCACACGGCAAGACAUAAAUCUAAAAUUACUUGUCACUAAUUCAAUUCCACUGAAUUUAAUUCUUCUCUCUUAAUCUUCAAAAUUAACAUAAUAAGCUAGUAAAUUUCACUUCAUGAAAAUCUUGCUCAAUGUUGUUUGACUUGUUUCCUUUCUUUAACAGCUAGAUGUCCAUUAAUUAUAUGCUAAUAAAACUUGCUCUUCAUCUUCAAUUGAUCUAAUAUAGCUUUGUGACUAAUUAAGUAGUAUAACUACAAGAUGGUAAACAAUAAUCCAUGGUAACUUUUUGCAGGAUUAUUUUCUACUUCUUUGUGUUGUGUGGCUCAGGCUGUUUGAGAGUCUCAACAUUAUCUACCAUGGCCUAUAAAAUUGAACCAAUCACCAUCUCAAAAUAAAAUAAUCGGUAUUGCAAGGAAAUGCAACUCGGUUGUUUACGAGCAAUCACUCUUCCACCCUGAGUUGCGUGUUUGGUUCCUCAUCUCCCAAAAUCGUUCGUAUAAAGGAAAAGAAAAGUAUAACCGUGUGGGACAUAGGAGAUAAGAAAGCAAUUAAAAAGAUAAAACAGCAUGAUCAUGACCCCACAAAAAAAUAAAGAGAAAGUAAAAAGAGGAAGACUUGCUGUGGUCUUUCAACACCUAAUCCUCAUUGCAAAUUGAAGAGCUCUAAAGUGGUCUGGAUCUGUUGAUUUUCAUAAUCUAUGGAAAACAAGUCCCUUCAUCUUCAUCAUCAUCUGAAAACUUGAACGCAGUAAGUUCCUCUUGCAACUAUAUAUGCGGAAUCCAUUAUUUAUAAAUUAAUUAUUUCAUUUUUCUUCAAGAUUGUAUGCUUAAUUAAUUAUUUCAUCGAUAACCAGCUAUAUAAUUUGUUCAGUUUUCAGCCUUAAUUAUUCCAUCAUUCAGUUUGGAUUUAUUGAUCAUCAGUGCAAACAAGCGCCCUCAUGACCUGACAGACUUCCAUGAAACUGCUUCUUGCUACAGAUCUUGUCCAAUAUCCGUGCAGAUUUCGAGUCUUGAAACGUAGGAUUGCAAGGUAAUCCCAAAACUGCCCCAUUUUAUUUGUUCAACAUGUUAAAAUUUAAGAAAAAUGAUGCAUUGCUUACUAGCAUGAUUUUUUCAAUCUUGAGUUUUUAUGGUGUGUUUUAUUGUGCCUUAUCAUUGAGUAAUAUUAUGGUGUACGUGUUUUUCUUUUGACAAACGAUAACGUUAGUAGGUUAAAUUGUUAGUCCCGUACUGGAACACCAACCAGGUUACCCAAAAAAUGAUUCACACACCCAUCUUUAUUCUAUAACUUAAUUCCAUGCUUGUCCCUCGAUACUCGUGAGCGAAAGGGAGGGUCCAAGCGGAUAUGAAAAUGAUCUAUUACUCCAAAGUCUACUUCAUAUGGCCAAUUAUUAGGUGUGUGAUCCUCAUCAUCAACUAUACUUUUUAUAAGGAAUAUCAUUCAUAACCCAGCUAUAAGCAUGCCGAUAUCGUUGAAAGCAUUAAAACAAUGAAAAAUAUGAAGUCUUACCCAGUGGCAGAUCGAAGAUUUUAAUAUCGGUGGUCCUAAUAUAAAGGCCCUAAAAAAUAUUAAGCGAAAAAUAAUAUUGAAAAUUAAAUGCUAGACUACAAUUUUUCAUUCAUAAUUUUUGUACAAACAACAUUACAAGCUACAAAGUACAAAGACUUAUUUGUCAACGAUGAGGUAUGCGUAAUAUCGUUCCAUACUUCUAAUUUCUACACAUAUCAAUUACUCAAAACAAAAAAAAAACAUAUUAAUUGAUGAAGCUAAAAGAAAAAAAAUACCUAUAACUAUUAUGAAUUUAACAUUCUACAACAACAACAACAACAACAACAAAGCCUUUUCCCACUAAGUGGGGUCGGCUAUAUGAAUCCUAGAACGCCAUUGCGCUCGGUUUUGUGUCAUGUCCUCCGUUAGAUCCAAGUACUCUAAGUCUUUUCUUAGAGUCUCUUCCAAAGUUGUCCUAGGUCUUCCUCUACCCCUUCGGCCCUGAACCUCUGUCCCGUAGUCACAUCUUCGAACCGGAGCGUCAGUCGGCCUUCUUUGCACAUGUUCAAAAUCACCGGAGCCGAUUUUCUCUCAUCUUUCCUACAAUUUCGGCUACUCCUACUUUACCUCGGAUAUCCUCAUUCCCAAUCUUAUCCUUUCUCGUGUGCCCACACAUCCCACGAAGCAUCCUCAUCUCCGCUACACCCAUUUUGUGUACGUGUUGAUGCUUCACCACCCAACAUUCUAUGCCAUACAACAUCGCUAGCCUUAUUGCCGUCCUAUAAAAUUUUCCCUUGAGCUUCAGUGGCCUACGACGGUCACACAACACGCCGGAUGCACUCUUUCCAUCCAGCUCGUAUUCUAUGGUUGAGAUCUCCAUCUAAUUCUCCGUUCUCUUGCAAGAUAGAUCCUAGGUAGCGAAAAACGAUCGCUUUUUGUGAUCUUCGCUAGAUUGCUCCGGUCAUUAGUGUGGAUAAGUAUAUAAAUGGAUAGAGAUAGGAAAGCAAACACAAGAUGUACGUGGUUCACCCAGAUUGGCUACGUCCACGGAAUAGAAGAGUUCUCAUUAAUUGUGAAGGGUUUACACAAGUACAUAGGUUCAAGCUCUCAUUUAGUGAGUACAAGUGAAUGAUUUAGUACAAAUGACAUUAGGAAAUAUUGUGGGAGAAUGAUCUCGUAAUCACGAAACUUCUAAGUAUCGGAGUGUGGUGUCGUCUUGACUUGCCUUAUCUAUCUCAUAGGUAGAUGUGGCAUCUUCUCUGGAAGUACUCUUCCUCCAUCCAGGGGUGGUAUCUUUAACUGGUGGAGAUGCACAAGGUAAUGUAUCAAUUUCACUUGAAGCUUACUUGUAGUUUCAGGCUUGGUCAAGCGCGAUACAAACCAUGUAGUAGGAGUCCCCCAAGUCGCCGAGCUAGGGGGUCUGCUGAAAGAGGUGACAGACAAGGUAAGCAAUCAGAGCUCCGACUGAUUGUUCACCUUCUCCCCAUCUUGCAGCAGCAUGAAGGAUAAAGAGAAGAAAAAUGAGAAGAGAUGAUAUGAGAUACUUUUGCUUUUGAAGAAGUAACUUUCCACAGGCUUAUUCUUGAACUGAGCUGGAGGGUUUUCUGGUUUCCUCCAGAGUAUAAGGCCGACUGAAGAAUUUGAGGGUCAAAACAAGUCCAUCAAAUCUAGAGUACGUUCCACCCUGCUGAUAUGGGAUACUUUUGCUUUUGACAGAGUAAUGAAUGUAUCGACCCGUGUGCUGUUACGCUUGUCUCCACAUGCUUCCUUGUAUCCUUCGCACUUGCCCUAUCUGUUCCUCAAGCAGAUGCGGAAUCUUCCCUGGAAACAUAAGAUGUUGAAGAUGAGUACUCGAGAGCAAUGCCAGGUAAGUAAUCAGGUAAGGGGUUCCAGGCAGUCAGUUCCUGGCUGGAAGCUUGAUUCCAAGUGCUGACUGAUUGCUCUCUUUCUCCUUGUCUUGCAGGUAAAAAACAAGGCCAAAAGAAAAGACAGGGAAAAAGCAUGAUAUGGGAUACUCUUGCUUUUAACCCUGAUGAUAUGAGAUAUUCUUGCUCUAGUAUAGCUUGUUUGCAGAGGUAUUAUCGGGGGGAAAGAAAGCUGAAAUAUUUCGAAAGGCUUCGUUGGGAGUGCCCUCUCAAAUAUGAUGAAGGGUUGAGCAUUUUUGCAGGUCUGCCUGUCCGUUGGGGAUGGAGGUCGACAUAUAUAGGAGUCUCCCUAACAACAAGUAGUAAUGCUAUUCCUUUACCCUGCUUGGUCAUAGCACGGUAGUGGGAGCUGCCAGUUUCACAUGUUUUAACUCUGUCAGAGCACUUUGAAAAAGUGGUCUGUGGUAUCUGGCUCUCGAGAUUUGGAGAACGAUGCCUCUUCGAUUUUUGAGAAAGCAAUCAUGCUGGGGGUAUGACUCUCGAGAUUCGGAGAGCAGUGUCUCUUCGAUUUUUGAGGAAGUAAUCAUGUUGGGAGUCUGGCUCUCGAGAUUCGGAGGGCGGUGCCUCUUCGAUUUUGGAGCAAACAAUCUUGUUGGGAGUGUUGUCUCGAAUGUGAGUAAAGGUUGGGCAUGUUUGCUAGUCUACCUUGCCACGAAGCACAAAGGUUGACACACAGGGACUUUCCAAUUAUCCAGCAAUGGUACUGUUCCUUUACCUCUCUCUUCGAUUUUGAGAAAGUAGUCAUGUUGGGAGUCUGGCUCUCGAGAUUCGGAGGAUGGUGCCUCUUCGAUUUUGGAGCAAGCAAUCUUAUUGGGAGUGUUUUUCUCGAAUGUGAGUAAAGGUUGGGCAUGUUUGCUAGUCUACCUUGCCACGAAGCACAGAGGUUGACACACAGGGACUUUCCAAUUAUCCAGCAGUGGUACUGUUCCUUUACAGUUGUGGGUAAUAAUAUGGUAGCUAGACCUUCAAAAUUUAUGUGUCUAAACUUUUGUUAGUGCUGUUUCUUUGCUAUUCUUUUACCUUUCUUGGUCAGAGCGAUGUAGUGGGAGCUGCAAGCUUCACGUGCUCAACUUUGGCAGAGAACUUUGGCAAAGUUAUUUGUGGUACCCAUGAGCUAUUGUUGCGUGUGGGAAGUGGGUGUGAUUGAACAGUAAGAUUCAUGUGCUUUCUACUUCACCAGAAGUCUUCGACAGAAUGCCCAUAAUUUCUGCAAAGCUGAGUGUGCGUGUGACAGGUGCUGACAAGGCUAGAAAAGUAGGUGCCUCUUCGAUUUCUGAGAUCGGCCCUCGUGGUCUCUGAGCAGCCCAGCUUUUGAGAAAGCGAGCGCCUCUUCGAUUGAUUCGGAGAACGAUGCCUCAUCGAUUUUUGAGAAAGCAAUCAUGCUGGGGGUCUGGCUCUCGAGAUUCGGGGAGCAGUGUCUCUUCGAUUUUUGAGAAAGUAAUCAUGUUGGGAGUCUGGCUCUCGAGAUUCGGAGGGCGGUGCCUCUUCGAUUUUGGAGCAAGCAAUCUUGUUGGGAGUGUUUUCUCGAAUGUGAGUAAAGGUUGGGCAUGUUUGCUAGUCUACCUUGCCACGAAGCACAGAGGUUGACACACAGGGAGUUUCCAAUUAUCCAGCAAUGGUACUGUUCCUUUACCCUCUCUUCGAUUUUUAAGAAAGUAGUCAUGUUGGGAGUCUGGCUCUCGAGAUUCGGAGGACGGUGCCUCUUCGAUUUUGGAGCAAGCAAUCUUAUUGGGAGUGUUUUCUCGAAUGUGAGUAAAGGUUGGGCAUGUUUGCUAGUCUACCUUGCCACGAAGCACAGAGGUUGACACACAGGGACUUUCCAAUUAUCCAGCAGUGGUACUGUUCCUUUACCCUUGUGGGUAAUAAUAUGGUAGUUAGACCUUCAAAAUUUAUGGGUCUAAACUUUGUUAGUGCUGUUUCUUUGCUAUUCUUUUACCCUUCUUGGUCAGAGCGAUGUAGUGGGAGCUGCAAGCUUCACGUGCUCAACUUUGGCAGAGAACUUUGGCAAAGUUAUCUGUGGUACCCAUGAGCUAUUGUUGCGUGUGGGAAGUGGGUGAUUGAACAGUAAGAUUCAUGUGUUUUCUACUUCCCCAGAAGUCUUUGACAGAAUGCCCAUAAUUUCCGCAAAACUGAGUGUGCGUGUGACAGGUGCUGACAAGGCUGGAAAAGGCUGGAAAAAGUAGGUGCCUCUUCGAUUUCUGAUAUCGGCCCUCGUGGUCUCUGGGGAGCCCAGCUUUUGAGAAAGCGAGCGCCUCUUCGAUUUUUGAGAUCGGCCUUCGUGGUCUUUGAGCAGCCCAACUUUUGAGAAAGCAAACGCCUCUUCGAUUUCUGAGAUCAACCCUCGUGAUCUCUAAGCAGCCCAGCUUUUGAGAAAGCAAACGCCUCUUCGAUUUCUGAGCAGGCGCCUCUUCGAUUUCUGAAGCUUCGUCGAGUGCAGAUUUUUAUAGGGGCUGGCAUUAAGUUCCAAAGCACACUUGAAUCUCCACCAGUAGAAGCUUCAUUCUUGCACUUCUAAGAUCUUGAUUUGUCCGACCUCUUCUCUCUUCAACACCUUUGAAAAUGUCUGGCCCCUCCGACCGUCGUUUUGACUUGAACCUUGUUGAAGAGGCAGCCCCGCCUUCUCCAGACAACAUAUGGCGCCCAUCCUUCGUCUCCCCUACUGGUCCUCUUACCGUUGGGGAUUCCGUGAUGAAGAAUGAUAUGACCGCUGCGGUGGUGGCCAGGAACCUUCUCACUCCCAAAGAUAACAGACUACUUUCCAAACGGUCUGAUGAGUUAGCUGUUAAGGAUUCGCUGGCUCUCAGUGUUCAGUGUGCAGGUUCUGUGUCUAAUAUGGCCCAACGCCUAUUUGCUCGAACCCGCCAAGUUGAAUCAUUGGCGGCUGAAGUGAUGAGUCUCAAACAGGAGAUUAGAGGGCUCAAGCAUGAGAAUAAACAGUUGCACCGGCUCGCACAUGACUAUGCUACAAACAUGAAGAGGAAGCUUGACCAGAUGAAGGAAACUGAUGGUCAGGUUUUACUUGAUCAUCAGAGAUUUGUGGGUUUGUUCCAAAGGCAUUUAUUGCCUUCGUCUUCUGGGGCUGUACCGCGUAAUGAAGCUCCAAAUGAUCAACCUCUGAUGCCUCCUCCUUCUAGGGUUCUGUCCAGUACUGAGGCUCCAAAUGAUCCCCCUCCGGUGCCUUCUCUUUCUGGGGCUCUACCGACUGCUGAGACUUCUCCUAAGCAACCUUUGUGAAGGCUCCCUCUUGUGUGCUUAUUUUGACUCAUGUAUAUGUACAUAUUUGUAGCUUAUCGGGGAUAUCAAUAAAUAAGCUUUCCUUGUACAUAUUUGUAGCUUAUCGGGGAUAUCAAAAAAUCAUAAUAGUUAAAACAAUACCUAUAAUUAUUAUGAAUUUAACAUUCUACAUGAUUAAUUUAGACUAAAAUAAAAAUCUCAGUUAAAUUUAGAAACGAGGGGAUUAAGUGGUGGUGAAGAAAGGACAGCAGAAUGGUAGGUUAUGUCGGUGGUGUGGACCGUGUGAUCAAUCUGAUCGUGGUUUGUGGAGACUGGAGAGGAGACUGGUAUUGUGCUGAUGGUCUUCGGUUGGGACAAGGAUUGUCUGCCCUUCCACUUCCGGUGUCCUUCCGUGUCCUCCUGUUUUGUGUGGUCACAGUUAAGCCAAGUUAACAUUUUAUAUUGUUUUUUUAUAGAGAUAAUAAGACAAAAAUGAAUAGUAAUAUAAAAUGUUGACGUGACUUAACCGUGACCAUACAAAUAAGAGGGCACGAGAGGGCAUUGGAAGUGGGAGGGUAGACAAUCCUUGUCCCUUCGGUUGAGUGGGGUGGGGUUUUCAAGCUACGCAUCAAAACACACCGUUUUACUUAAAUGACUUGACUCCUUUAAAAAGAAAAAAAAGAAAAAAAAGAAAAAAAAAAAACUUCUUCUCUCCAUCUCGGUUGCAGAAUACCAGAAGACCCACCAGAAGUCAGAACACGGUGCGGCCCCACUCUUCUUCUCCUCCACCACACUUGGUGGUCCACGGAGGUCCUUGCAGCCACUUGUUCGGGCUUCCGGAUGGUCCCAAGACCACCCAAGUCUCUUAGUAGAUGGUAUUACCUCAUGUGAAGCUUCCGAAACAACUUUGAUAUAUUUUUCUCAAAUUAUUAUGAUUGGUUGAAAUUUUUUUUUUAAUUUCCAGCCACGUUAAUUAAGGAUGAAUCAUUUUAUCUCUUAUUUAAGAAUAUUUGUUAAAAACAAAUGUAAAAAUAUUUGUUCCUUGAUCCUAACUUAUUUUGUAUAUAUUAGGAAAAAGAACAUUUCCAUAAAACGUAACAGGACUGCAUACCUGACGGGACGGUUAUGGUGUAGGCAAUCCCUAGCCAUUCCCAAAUUGUCACCUCUAGAUAUGCUUUGCUAGGAGUCCAUUAAUUGAUUACUUCACUGUUACUAUAAAUUUGUAUGUGAUUGCGCAGGCAUCAAUAAUUACUUCUCAUCAUUUUAAUUUGUGCAGUUGUGACUAUUUCUGAGCCUCAACAGAUCAAGCUUCCAAAUUUCCAAGGAACUAGUCUUUGGCUGUUACUCUUCCCUUCGUUGAGUUCUGCACCUCAAUAUUGCUCAAGAACGUUUCACUAUUUCUUUGAUUUCUUGGAGUGCCCUUCACUCUUAACAUGGCACUGGGAGAGGGUUUUCUUGCGGCGUUUCUAAAGGUGCUGCUCAACAGGUUGACCUCCCGCGAGAUUCUCAACUACAUUGGAAACUUCCGGGGCGUCAGAAAGAAGCUGGACAAGUGGAGGGCCGUGUUAACUGCAAUAGGAGCGGUGCUCAGCGAUGCCGAGGAAAAACAACUCACUGAGGAUGCUGUGAAACUGUGGCUCGAUGAUCUCAGAGACUUGGCUUAUGAUGUCGAAGACAUGUUGGACAAAUUUGACACCCAAAUGUUGAAGCGCAUGAUAGAGGGACGUGAUCAAGCCCGCACAAGCAACAAGGUGCGGACCUCACUUUUCAAAAUUAAAUUCAAUAGGGAUAUGAACUCCGAAAUGAAGAAGAUUACGGAGCGGUUGCAAGACAUAUCUGAACGGAAAGAGAAGUUUGGCUUGAAAGAUACUGGGACGUCUGCUAAGGAAUCGCGAAGUCUACCAAGUUCAGAUGUGUUAGAUGAAAAGCUAGUUGUUGGAAGGGAUGGUGACAAAGGGGAGAUUAUUGAAUUGUUGUCAAGAAAAUACGAGCAUGAAGGUGCUGUCAAUUUUGGUGUAGUUGCUAUAGUUGGCAUGCCCGGAGUUGGGAAGAUGACACUUGCUCAACUUGUAUUCAACCACAAAGAUGAUGCCAUGAAGGAGUUUGAGCCUAAGGUGUGGGUAUCUGUGUCUGAUGACUUCAAUGUGGUGCGAGUGACAAAGGCAAUUCUUGAAUCCAUCACAUCCCGACCCGUUCAAAUGGAGGAGUUUAGUAAAAUUCAGCAUGAUUUGUGUGAGCAAUUAAGAGGAAAAAAGUUUUUAAUCGUGUUAGAUGAUAUCUGGAACAAAGGCGACUAUGAUCUACACGAUCUCUGGACAAGACUUAAAUCCCCUUUUGGCGUCGGAGCAGGAGGAAGUAAGAUUAUUGUGACAACCCGUGAUGUGCAUGUUGCAAGGACUAUGGGAGCCACGGGAGUUCAUAAUUUGGAAUGUAUGGCAGAUGAUGAUUGUUUGGAAAUAUUUGAGCGACAUGCAUUUGGGGAAGUUAAUAGUGUAAAACCAGUAAAUUAUGAGUUGAUUCGGACAAAAAUUGUUGAAAAAUGUUGUGGCUUACCAUUAGCUGCGAGGACUCUCGGUGGUCUCUUACUUUGCAAAGAAAAAGAUGAGUGGGGAGAAAUAUUGGACAACAAACUAUGGAAUCUUGCAGAUAACAGUAGCCUUCUCCCCGUACUAAAGUUGAGCUAUCACUAUCUUCCAUCACAUUUGAAGAGGUGUUUUGCCUACUGCUCAAUACUUCCAAAUGACUACGAAUUUUGGGAGAAGCGGCUCGUCCUUUUGUGGAUGGCAGAGGGUUUGAUUCAACAAAAACCUGAUGACAAUAAACAAAUGGAGGAUUUGGGCCGCGACUACUUUCGAGAGCUAUUAGCAAGGUCGCUGUUUCAAGAAUCAAGCAAAACCAAUUCAAGAUAUGUAAUGCAUGACCUCGUUAAUGAUUUAGCACAUUGGGCAGCAGGAGAAAUAUGUUUUAGGUUGGAAGAUAAGCAAGGUGAUAACUUGCAAAGCACUUGCUUUCAAAGGGCUCGCCAUUCGUCUUUCAUUGCUGGUGAAUUUGAUGGAGUUACGAGAUUUGAGGACUUCCCAAAAGCUGAACGCUUGCGAACAUUCCUGCCACUUUCACUUUCAGAUUCUGGUGGAUGGUACAAAUGUUUGUCUCGUAAGGUUACUUUUGAGCUAUUACCACAGUUGCAAUACUUACGAGUGCUCUCGUUCAAUUGCUACACAAUAACUGAGCUGCCAAAGUCAAUCGGUGAUUUGAGGUUGUUACAGUAUCUUGACCUUUCCUACACAGAUAUAACCUGUUUGCCUAAGUCAACAAGCACUCUUUACCACUUGCAAACAUUGAUAUUGGAAGGUUGUUCUAAAUUGAAGUCAUUGCCCACAAACAUGAGUAAUCUAAUUAAUUUGCGCCAUCUCAACAACUCAGGUGCAUAUUCGUUGGAAGGAAUGCCUUGGCAACUAGGUCGAUUGACGAAUCUACAAUCAUUGCCUCUUUUUGUGGUGAGCAAAGGUAGUGAUCAAUCAGGGAUAAGAGAGAUAGGGCCCCUAUUGCAUCUUCGAGGGACACUGUGCCUCUCAAGAUUGGAGAAUGUGACUGAUGUCAAGGAUGCCAGGAGGGCCAACUUGAAAUGCAAGGAGAGGCUUGAUUCGUUGGUCCUAAAAUGGUCUCAUUCAAGCGACACGAGAGAAACGGAAUCCGUUGUGCUUGACAUGUUAGAGCCUCAUACAAAGCUCAAGGAGCUCACCAUCAAGAGUUAUGCCGUAGAGGAAUUUUCAUCAUGGGUUGGAGGUCAUUUGUUCUCUAAUAUGGUGCUUGUGCGGUUAGAGGAAUGUAACAAUUGUUUAUCGGUGCCACCUCUCGGACAAUUGCCUCAUCUCAAAGAACUUUAUAUUAGAGGAAUGAAUGCAGUGGAAAGUGUUGGUGCUGAGUUUUAUGGCGAGUGUAUCUUGCCUUUUCCGCUGUUAGAGAUUCUUGAGUUUGUGGAUAUGUAGCAUUGGAAGGUGUGGCUUCCUUUCCAACUGGAUCACGAAAGUGCUUUUUUCCCUUGCCUGAAAAGGCUUUCAAUCAAACGAUGUUCAAAGUUGGAAGGUGAGCUGCCAGAGAAGCUCGAUUUGUUAGCCGAACUUGAAAUUGUUAAAUGUGAGGAAUUGGUGGUUUCGAUUGCCAACUACAAACAACUUCGUCAAAUAAAAAUUGACGGUUGUAAAGUGUUGGUACAUACAGAUGCUAAGGUUGAGUUUGAGUUAUUAGAGUCCUUGUGGCUUUCAAACAUUUCGGAGGUGACGUCUCUGCAAACAGGGGAAUUGUUCAGGAAGGGAUUAAGCAAGGUUAGAGAUUUGAAGAUCCAUGGAUGUGAGAAGCUGACGUCUUUAUGGAAGAAUGAGGAUGCUAAGGUUGAGUUUGAGUUAUUAGAGUCCUUGUGGCUUUCAAACAUUUCGGAGGUGACGUCUCUGCUAACAGGGGAAUUGUUCAGGAAGGGAUUAAGCAAGGUUAGAGAUUUGAAGAUCCAUGGAUGUGAGAAGUUGACGUCUUUAUGGAAGAAUGAGGCUAGAUUAUUGCAGCGGUUGACUUGUCUUGGCCGUUUGGAAAUUGAAGACAACUCUUGUCUAGUUGAAGAAUUGGGAAAAGAAGCAGAGGAGUUGAUGCAAUUGCAAAUAUUGGAGUGCAAGCUUGAAUUUCUGGAGUUAAACAAGUGCGAAAAUCUUUGGACGCUACCAAAAGGAUUAAAUCAGCUGUCGUCUCUUAAAGAGCUUCGCAUUCACGAAUGUUCACGUCUAGUUUCUUUCCCAGAUGUUGGUCUGCCACCUUCUCUUAAAGACAUUGAGAUUAUAUCGUGCGCUUCGUUGAUAUAUUUUGCAAAAUUCCAGAUUCCCCAAAAUCUAAGAAGAAUAGAUAUAAGAGAUUGCAAAAGUUUGAAAUCACUAGUAGAUGAGGAGGAAUGUGAACGACUGGGUUUAAUAGCACCGAACGGGUUCUUCAGCGACAACACCAAUCACUGCCUUGAAUAUAUUCUGAUCUCGAAUUGCCAAAAUCUGAAAUCCUUACCGGAUGGCUUAUGCCACCUCAGCAAUCUUCAAAAGCUAUAUAUUGAACUAUGUGGAAGUCUUGUUUCCAUCCCGAGACUGAGUGGGGGGAGAAGACCCUCCAACCUGAGAACGAUCUGGAUCAUCGGAUGCGACAAAUUGGAGGCGUUGCCCGAAAACAUGCACAAUCUCAACUCUCUUGAGGAUUUGAGCAUCGACUACCGUGAAGGUUUGACUUUUCCUCCCAACCUAACAUCACUUGAUCUUUGGAAGGUCAAGAGUUGUAAGUCAUUGUGGGAGUUGGAGUGGGGGUUGCACAGACUCACCUCUCUUAGAUACUUGUAUAUCGACAGUGAAGACCCGGAUACGGUGUCGUUUCCACCCGACAUGGUACGGAUGGAGACGCUCUUCCCCAAAUCUCUCACUAACCUCGCAAUAGGUGGCUUCCCGAAUCUAAAGAAACUGAGCAGCAAGGGCUUUCAAUUCCUCACCUCCCUUCAAUCUCUGAAACUCUUCCGUUGUCCAAAGCUAGCAUCUAUUCCAAAGGAGGGUCUGCCUCCUUCGCUAGAGGAACUUUGGAUCGAAGGGUGUCCAGUGCUAAAAGAGAGAUGUCAACCAGGAAAAGGACGCUACUGGCACAAAAUAUCCCACAUCCCUUACAUAAGGAUAGAUUAUAAGAAGAUAUGAAGCUGAUGGUCCAGGUAUCAUCUCUCGAGGAAUGUUUUAAUAUUAAUAUUAUUAUUAUUAAUAUCUCACAUCCCUUUCAUAAGCAUAGAUUGGGAGUUGAUAUGAAGCUGAUGGUCCAGGUAUCAUCUCUCAAGGAAUGUUUUAAUAUUAAUAUUAUUAUUAUUAUUAAUCAUCUUUAUUCUUGUAAAGUAAAGUAAUCCACAUAUUUUGGUUUGGGUCAAGGCUUUGGGGGUUGAGGAGUGGCUACUUUGGGAGGCCUUUCAAUUGGCGUCAACGGGGAUAUUUCUCCGCCAACGUUUCUUCUCCCAGAUUCCUAUAUUUGCUUCUUUCUUUCUUUUUUUUAUUGGUAAACGAUUGCUAUGUUUGCUUGGUCCCUUUUCAUUGAUUUGUAUUAUAACUUUAUAAAUGUGCUACUCUUUCUCCCAGCAAGAUUUUAAUCAGGCCACUUUAAUCUAAUCUUUUAUUUUAUUUUAGCAAAUUUUGACUUAUGAGCUAGUAAUGCAUUUUAUUUAAUGCAUCGAGAAUAAGCAAUCAACAAAGAAAUGGAAAUGUAAAGAGCUCGUUGCUCAAGUGGGUACAAGAGUGAUUUUACCCUUGGCCGUUUGUUAUGCACUUGCUAGAGGCUUGUGGAACGAUGACCACUAAAUGACUUCCUUUACUAUAACUUGUCUUCCUGAAAGUAGAAAAUACGUGCCAACGAAUUUUGGUCAAUCAAAUCCUUAUACCAAGCCUUCAUCACUUGUUCAAAAAAUGCAUUAUUCAUCUAAUUGAUAUGUGAUAAAUUGGUGAUGAUUAUGCAUUUUAACCGAGUUCUAAGGAAAAUUGAAGAUAGUAAUACAUCAGUACUAAAACUACAAAAUAUUACUGAAUUUGUAUACUUAUUACUUGGGUGCCCUCUGCCUUGCUGUGCUGAAUAACAAUGAGAAUAUAUUACUGAAUUCUAGCAGGAAAAAGGCAGGCCACUCUCAAAAUUUGGUGAAUGGGACGUCAAUGAUCCUGCUUCAGCUGAGGGGUUUACUGUGAUCUUUAACAAGGCUAGGGAUGAGAAGAAGACAGGUGGAAAACCGGAGUCACCAGGAAAGGUUGAUCCUAAUAUCAGGCAUGGAGGAGUGGAUACUGGCACUGGCACUGGCAGGCCUUCGUCUGUAAGAUUUUUUCUCAUAACUCUGUCUCAUUUCUUUGUCUAAUGAUUUGAUAAUAUACACAUGAGACAGCCAAUAGCAAUACAUUCUUUACGGUUUUCUUAGUUGCAAGUUAUUGCUUUUCAAGUGACGUCAGUAGUACAACACAGCAUACCAUUUGAUGUGAAAAUCAAUGCAACUGACUUAUAUAGAACUCUAGUAAGGAAAUGUGGCAAAAGACAGAUCUAAUGUUAGGGCCAAGAUAUUUGAAAAAUAAAAGAACACAAGAUGAUUCGGCUGUUUUAUCUGCAUUAUUCCAUGGGAGUGGAAUUGGCAUACGUUAACUUCACUCAGGUUCCAUCUCCUUUUAGACAGAUGUAGCCUAAUAGGAACAUUUGUUUGUUUUAUUGUGAACAAUUGAAAGAACUAUUGGCCCUUGAAAUAUUUGCUCUUGUCAAUUGAUCAUUGUGUGGCCUUUUCGUUUUCUGUGUCUGCUGCAUUUCCAAUUAGUAGAAUAAUAGAACGAAUAACUGGACGGUAAUUAUUUCUGCUGCCAAAAUCUAAUAUGCUUAAAUUCCUCACUCUUUGUGGAUGAUUUGAUUUGGUUUGAUUUCCUGGUGCACAGAAAAAAUGGUUUUGCAGCAUUCAUCAACCACCAGCAGUUUUGUUGACAAUGUUGUUCUCCUAAGUGCUCCGAUGGAGGAGCACGGUGUUCUGUAACUGGCUCCACUAUAUUUCCUCUCUCACUGUAUGUCUAUGAAAUUGGCAGCCGGGUAAGUGAAGUUUGAAGCAAUGGUUAGCAGUUUGCCUAAGGAAAUCGUACAUGAUAUCCUUUUGAGACUACCUCCUAAAGCUUUGAUGAGAUGCACCUCGGUGUCCAAGCCUUGGAACUCCAUGAUAAAAAGUCCCAGCUUUAUUCGCACCAAGGUAUAAAAUAUCAAUGAUAUCGGAAAUGUCGGUAGUCCAAAAACACGGAAAUUUCGAUGGAAAUAUCGGGAUAUUAUCGAUAUCGAUAAAAAUUGAAUAAAAACCAUGGAAAUUGUUAGAAAAACUUGGAAAUUUUUAUUGAAACUUUGCUGGAUGUUUAUUUAGUCAAUUAUCUAUUAGUUUAUUACAAAAAAUUGGAAGGAAAUGCAUUGCAUGAUAGAUAUAACUGAUUUAAAUUGAUUAUAUAGCGAGCUGGCAAACAUGGUGAGUGUAGAAAAUAUGUAGUAAUUAAUGAAAGAAGUUUAAACACACCAUAAUCAUUUAUAUAUAAUGAAUUAGUACAAUAUUUUACACUUUAUACAUUUCAUGGUAAGAUACAUGAGUGACUUAGCAAGGUCUAAAAUAUCGAUGAUAUCGGAAAUAUCGGUAGUCCAAAAAAAUAUCACUAGUCCAAAAACGCGGAAAUUUCGAUGGAAAUAUCGGGAUAUUAUGGAUAUUUUAGACCAUGAUUCGCACCCACCUCAGCCGUACCAUCGAUUUUAAGCAGUUUGGCACCCACCGACUCCUUCUGCAUUGUGUUAGUGGAGACAAUCCAGUGGAGCAGAAUUACUAUUUGCAUUAUGAUAACCAUGCUUUUGAUGAGUACUGCAAGCUAGAGUAUCCAAGUGUUCCCAAGCGCAAGAGAUUUCUUCGUGUGGUCGGAAUGCGAGGAUCCGAAUACUUUUUAUGGGCUUAUUCACUUGCUAGAGGCUUGUGGAGUAGUCCUUGUUCUUUUGAUCCCGUUUGUAAAGUUUUUUAUUCUUGCAAAUUUCAGGCUUUUGUGAACUGGGCAGUUCAUUGGCUGGCAUGGCGCUGCUUGAACGAUGGUCGUUAUCAAAAUUUCAUUUUAGCAAUUGAUGUGGACGGUGAGUUAUUUUGCGAGAUAAGGGUGCUAAAGAGUUUCAGACAGGAUGAACCAUUAGAUUAUCACUUGUCUGUUUCAGGUGAUGGAAACUCCGUUGCUAUGUUCACGACAACGCGUGGUCGUAAUUGUCCUGAGGAUUUUCUUGACAUAUGGGUGAUGAAAGAGUAUGGCAUCGAGGAUUCAUGGGCCAAACUGAUAACUCUAAGUCCACCGGAUCCGGAAAGAAGGGUGCCCUACAAGCCCUUAUGUUUUAGGAACAAUGGUGAAGUAGUGUCCUGACUUUAUCACUUGUUCUAGUAAAAAACGUCGCAUGUACUGGGAUUUUCUCAGGGAUGCCUUGUGAUAUUCUGACAUGGGUAAAUUGUAGCAAUGGUCCCUCAUUUUUUAAUCAAAUUGGAGCAAUGAUUCGUCAACUAAAAUUUCAUUACCAUUGGUCCCUCAAUUUAUGAAAAUGUGUAGCUAUAGUCAUAUUCAUCAAUUUUGUCUAAAUAAGUUAUGUUGGAAUAAUCAUUUAUAUAAUUAGGGUCCCUCAAUUCAUCAAAGUGUGUAAUUAAGGUUCUUUUCGUCAACUACGUCAAAAUUUUUGUCAAAACGAGUUAUGUUGGACGGAUCAUUGCUACAAUUAGGUUAAAGUUAAGGGACUAUUUCUCCAGUUGAAUUAAAGUUGAGGGAUCAAUGGUAAUAGAUUUUUAGUUAAGAGACCAUAGCUGCACAUUUUGAUGAGUUGAGGGACCAAUAAUAAUGAAUUUUUAGUUGAGUGACCAUUGCUCCAAUUGAGUUAAAGUUAAGAGACCAUAGCUACAAUUUACUCUUCUAACAUUGCUGGAUGUUAGCUAGAGAUGAACAUUUUUCCUUUAGUUUGUCUGUUAAUUUAGAGACCUAGAAGAAGUUGCUUAUCACAACAUGUUGCCAAUGUUCAUGGAUAUAUACAGUUAAAUUAAUUUCUUUGAAAUUGCUUGUGAUAUUUUCGUGCCAAAUAGGAAGAGAAGAAAAUUGCAUAUCUUAUUUUUUUAGCUCUAAUAAGAUUUAUCUAGUCACGAGACUUUUACAAUAACUUUUGCUCCUAUGGUCAACCAAAAUAAUAAUAUUACAGUAGAGACUAGUAGUCCAUUAGUAAUUGUGUGUUCAACUGAAAGCAGCGAGAAAAAUACGUACCUUUUUCUCUUCUCUGUUUUCAAAGAAUUUUUUAUCUUCUUCCUCUGCAACCCUUGCAUGCAGGUUUGGCAGUAAAGUAAGUUUCCGCGCAAUUAAAAUAAUGGCAAACUAAUCUUUCGGUUUCGUACGAAGAUAGGAUAAUUUAUACUAAAUUAUUUUUUUGUCUUUUAUUAAAGAAUACAUUUAUAAAAAAAUAAAAAAAGAAGUUUUAAGUGUUUGGGAUCUUUUAAAUACCAAUUUCAAUACAGCUAUUAGUUUAAGUAACAUAAUUUUUAGUUUAGGUGCCAAUGAAAAAAUCAACUAAAAUAAUUCUAUAAAAACUAUUAUAAUUCAAAAUAAUUAUACGAUUGCCGCGUUUUCCGACCUGCCAACUGUAUUCGCAACCACCUCACCCUUACAAUCAAUCUUAAUAACCACGUUUCGACUGACCUCCUUGUACUGCAUUGUAUUCGCAUACACGAGCCAAGGGAGGAGCAUUAGUAUUUGCAUUAUGAUAAAUAACCAUGAUUUUGAUGAGUACUGUAGACUAGAAUUUCCAAUCAUUCCCAAGGGAGAAUGGUUUAAUACGACCUAUAGACUACAAGAACUCAAAUUCCUUUUUUGUUAUCUUCUGUAAACCAUCCAUUAGAGCUCUCGGCAGGCAGUGACCAUUUUUGAGGAAUGACUAGACACAUGUUGGGGCAUCAUCAUGACAUCAUAGGUGAACAAUACGAUUUCGCGUUUAAGUUUCUCUCUAUAUACAUCGUGUUAACUUUGUUUUUCUACUUUCCUAGCACGUUCCGGUUCGUGUAUUUUCAGUUUUUGUAUAGUGGAAAGGUCAAGUUGGUAGUAGAUUGACAUAGCGAAAAAAUUACUUGUCACUAAUUCAGUUUACCAAGCUUAAUUGGUCUCUCUUAACUUACAAAAUUGUCAUAAUAAGCUAGUAGUUUCACUUCAUGGAAAUCUUGCUCAAUGUUGUUUGACUUGUUUCCCUUCUUAAACAUCGAUCGAGAUGUUCGUUAAUUAAAUGCUAAUAAUACUUGCUCUUCACCUUCAAAUGGAUCAUAAGUUAAUAUAGCUCUGUGAUUAAUUAAGUAGUAUGACUCCAAAAUGGUAAAAGCAUAAUCCAUGAUAAUUUUGGUAAAUCUGAUCUCGGCAAGAUCAUGUUCUUCUCUUCUUGUUGUGUGGCUCACGUUGUUUCAGAGUCUUUUACUGUUUAAAAUUAAUUACUAUUCCACCCGAAGUUUCACGUUUGGGUCCUCUUCUUAUAGCGGAAACGAAAAAGUAUAACCGUGUAGGAUAUUUGCGAUAAGAAAGCAAUCAAAAAGAAAACAAUAUGACCCCACGAAAAAUAAAGAGAGAACAAAAACAAGGAAUCUUUCUUUCUUUACGGGCAGAAAGAUGAAGACAUGUUAGUCUUUUAACACGUAUCGCAAUGGCAAAUUGAAGUAGUUAUCGUCGAAAGAGGAAGACUUGUUAUAGUCUUUCAAGUCGACACCUAAUUAUCCUAGCAAAUUGAUCUGUAAAGUAGUCUACAAAAACUCAAAUUCCAUUUAAACUACCUGUUUUAUUAAAGGAAUAUACUAUCCGCAUAUCUAUUUUUACUUAUCAGACACUCUUUUUUACUUCUCACAUCCCCUUUGUUAACUUUUGUCCUUUGAUCUACUUCAAUUCAUCCGAUCCGACACCGAAAAUUAAAAUGAUGUGUGAGAAGUAAAAAAAGGUGUGUGGAUAUCACACCAUUUUACUAAAUCCUAAAUUGUAUAACUCCUUCAAAUAUAUCAAAGGCGAAUAUGGUACCUUCUGUAAACAAUCCGGUAGAGCUCUCAGCAGGCAAUGAUAAUAUUUAGGGAAUGACUAGACACAUGUUGGGACGUUAUCGUGACAUCAUGGGUUAACAAUACAAUUUGUGUUUAAAUUUCUCUUCACUAGCUUAGUUUUUCUACUUUCCUAACAUGUUCGGGUUCGUGCAUUUUCAGCUUUUGGGUAGUGGAAAAGUCAAGUUGCUGGUAGACUAAGUAGUGAACAAGUAGAUUCACACGGCAAUACAUAAGUCAAAAAUUACUCGUCACUAAUUCAGUUCUACCGAGUUUAGUUUGUCUCUCUUAAUCUUCAAACUUACAUAAUAAGCUAGUAAUUUCACUUCAUGAAAAUCUUGCUCAAAGUUGUUUGACUUGUUUCCUUUCUUUAGCAGCUAGACGUUCAAUUAUAUGCUAAUAAAACUUGCUCUUCAUCUUCAAUUGAUCUAAAAUAUAGCUCUGCGACUAAUUAAGUAGUAUGACUACAAGAUGGUUAACAAUAAUCCAUGGUAACCUUUUGCAGGAUCAUUUUCUUCUUCUUUGUGUUGUGUGGCUUAGGCUGUUUGAGUCUUUUACUACUUUAAAUUAAUUUAAGGAAAACUAAUGAAAAUGACUUGAAAACUUUGAGUUUUAACGAAAAUGACAAAAAUGUGUUGUAAAUGAAUAGUAUCAAUAUUGACUUUUUAGAGUAAAAAUGUGAUUUUUUGUUAAAGUAACAGUACCUUGAGUUUUUCUUCGUUAAAGUUUCGUUAAAUUUAUUGUCUCAACAUUAUCUACAAUGGCCUAAAAAAUUAAUCACCCUUUCAAACUAAUAUAAUCGGUAUUGCAAGAAAUGCAACUCAGUUGUUUACCAGCAAUCACCCUUUCACCCUAAAUUGCGUGUUUGGUUCCUCAUCUCCCAAAAUCGUUCGUAUAAAUGAAAAGAAAAUGUAUAACCGUGUAGGACAUAGGAGAUAAGAAAGCAAUUAAAAAGAUAAAAGAGGAAUCUGUCUUUUUUGGCAGAAAGAGGAAGACUUGUUAUAGUCUUUCAACACCUAAUCAUCAUUGCAAUUUGAAGAGCCUCGACUAGAAGAAAAAGACGUCUUAUGUACUCGGAAUUUUCUCCGGGAUGCCUUGUGAUAUUCUGAUAUUGCUGCUAGAAAUAAACAUUUUUCCUUAAGUUUGUCUGCUAAUUUACCGUCCUAGAAAAAGUUGCUUAUCACAACAUGUUGCCAAUGUUCAUGGACAUAUACAGUUAAUGAGUUUCUAUGAAAAUGUUGUCGAUAUUUUCGUGCCAAAUGUUGAGUGCAUCAUCUAUUUGUUGUAGCCUUAAUUUCUAGUUGCCCUCCAACUUUCAACGUUGCUUUGCUUAAUUGCAAACCUUUCAUCUCUUAUUGUGCUUUCUUCUCAAUAUUCUCACACCUCUAUAAGGCGAGAAGCAAAUUACAUAUCUCGGUUUCAAAGCUUUAAUAAGAUUUAUAUCUCUCUCAUUACAAAACUUUUACAAUAAAUUUUCCUCCCAUGGUCUAUCAAAAUAAUAAUAUUUCAGCAGCGACUAUCUAUUAUCAUAAAUUUUGGUGCAUUUGAAAGCAGCGAGAACAAUACAUUUUUAUUUUAUUUUUUCUCAAAUAAAUUUUUUGGUCAUUUUCCUCUGCAACCCUUGAGUUUCAACCCACUUUAUUUAUAAGAGUGAGGAGAACAAAUUUUUAAACCAAAUUUUGUAAAUAAAAUGAUAUGUCACUAAUAAAAAAUAAGUACGUUAAUUAAUACUUGAAUAAUUUGAUCUCUCUAACAUUAUUCUUAAAAUAAUGGUAAACUAAUUUUUUUAUUUAUUUUUACGAAUGAUAGAAUAAUCUAUUAAACUAUUGUGUUUUUUUUCUUUUUGUGAACAAUAAGACAAUAAACUAUUAUUUCGCCUUUUAUUAAAGAGUACUAAAAAAACGAAGUUUUUGAGAUCUUUUAAGUACCAAUUCCAAUAAAACUUUCAGGGUAAGUAACGUGAUUUUUAGUUUACAAAUAUUAAAAAAAACUAAUGAAAAUGACUUGAAAAUUUUGAGUUUUAAUGAAAAAGACAAAAAUGUGUUGUAAGUGAAUAGUACCAGAAUUGACAUUUUAAAGUAAAAAUGUGGUUUUUUGUUAAAGUGAGCAGUACCGAAAGAGUUUCGUUAAAGCUCCCAAAUACUAAUGAAAAAGUUAACCAAAAUAAAUCUACAGAUAUUAGAGCAAGUCCAUCCCUGAAAACUUUGUGCCAGCACCCAGCGUAUUUAUAUCUCCAUCGGCACCCGGAUGCAGUGUUAAAUGAGCAAGGGGGCUAUAGAAACUUCUUUUCGAACGACUCCACUCAAAGUUGUUUGGGAGCAUAUGCUCCUAUCAACUUUACACGGGACACACAAAAGAAGUACUUUGAUCCUAUUAGACGGGGAAGGGUGAAGAAGCUAGGACAGAAGGGUAGAGUUCAAGAGAGCAAAAUGCGUUUAGGAACGUGGAAUAUAGGAACCUUGACGGGAAAAUCUAUGGAAGUAGUAGAAGUUAUGGUGAGGAGAAGGAUAAAUAUUAUGUGCCUACAAGAAACUAAGUGGGUUGGGCGUAAGGCAAAGGAUCUAGAAAACUCAGGGUUUAAACUAUGGUAUUCGGGCACAAAUAGAACGAGAAACGGUGUUGGCAUCAUCGUGGACAAGACCUUGACACAAGAUGUUGUAGAUGUCAAGAGGGUAGGAGAUAGAAUCAUGGCAAUCAAGAUUGUAAUAGGACAAGAACUUAUCAAUGUGAUUAGUGCGUACGCACCUCAAGUAGGGUUGGAUACGAGUUCGAAGGAGAAAUUUUGGGAAGACCUUGGAGACUUGGUGCAAGGAAUUGCUCAGACGGAGAAGUUAUUUAUAGGAGGAGAUUUAAAUGGACACGUGGGCAGGGAGACAGGCAACUAUGGAGGUUUUCAUGGUGGCCAUGGUUUUGGGGAGAGAAACGAGGAUGGGGAAGCUAUCUUGGAUUUUGCAAUGGCAUAUGAUCUCUUCUUAGCCAACACCUUCUUUAAGAAGCGGGAAGAACAUGUGAUCACCUACAAGAGUGGGUCGUCAAAAACACAAAUAGAUUUUCUUCUAAUGAGGAAAAGGGAUCGUAUAACUUGUAAGGAUUGCAAAGUUAUACCAGGAGAGAGCGUGGCUAAUCAACAUCGCUUGUUGGUGAUGGAUGUACAUAUCAAAAGAGUGAGAAAAAAGAACAAGACUUGGAAGUGCCCAAGGACUAGAUGGUGGAAUCUAAAAGAAGAAAAACAAGCAAUUUUCAAAGAGAAAAUAAUCACCCAGUGUGUGUGGGAUAGAGAGGGGGAAGCUAACCAAAUGUGGGAUUCCAUGGCUAGUUGUAUCCGAAAAGUAGCAAAAGAGGUAUUAGGAGAGUCCAAGGGCUUUGCCCCACACCAAAAGGAAUCUUGGUGGUGGAGUGAGGAGGUACAAACAAAGGUGAAGGCUAAGAAGGAAUGUUGUAAAGCCUUAUACAAGGAUAGGACCGAUGAAAAUGGUGAAAGGUAUAGAAAAGCGAAGCAAGAGGUGAAGAAAGCUGUGAGAGAAGCUAAGUUAGCGGCUUAUGACGAUAUGUAUAAACGACUAGAUACCAAAGAAGGAGAGUUGGAUAUCUAUAAACUAGCUAGAGCAAGGGAAAAGAAGACAAGGGACCUAAACCAAGUGAGGUGCAUCAAGGAUGAGGAUGGAAAGGUUCUUGCUACAGAGAACGCGGUUAAAGACAGAUGGAAAGGUUAUUUUCAUAAUCUUUUCAAUGAAGGACAUGAAAGGAGUGCUUCUUUAGGGGAGUUGAGUAACUCAGAAGAGUGUAGAAACUACUCUUUUUAUCGUAGAAUCCGGAAGGAAGAAGUGGUUGUAUCUUUGAAGAAGAUGAAGCAUAGAAAAGCAGUAGGCCCAGACGAUAUACCAAUCGAAGUGUGGAAAGUUUUGGGAGAGACAGGUAUAACAUGGCUCACUGACAUUUUCAAUAGGAUUUUGAAAACGAAGAAGAUGCCAAAUGAGUGGCGAACGAGCACUUUGGUGCCUAUCUACAAGAAUAAGGGCGAUGUACAAAAUUGCAUGAACUAUAGGGGUAUUAAGCUAAUGAGUCAUACAAUGAAGCUCUGGGAGAGAGUCAUUGAGCAUAGAUUGAGGCAAGAGACACGGGUUUCGGACAACCAAUUCGGGUUCAUGCCAGGGGCGCUCAACCAUGGAGGCAAUCUAUCUCUUACGAAGAUUGAUGGAAAGAUAUAGAGAUGGGAAAAAGGAUUUACACAUGGUCUUUAUAGAUUUGGAAAAAGCGUAUGAUAGGGUCCCAAGAGACAUUCUUUGGAGGAUUUUAGAGAAGAAAGGAGUACGAGUAGCAUAUAUCCAAGCUAUACAGGAUAUGUAUGAAGGAGCAAAGACUGCCGUAAGAACUCAUGAAGGACAAACCGAAAGCUUUCCCAUAACUGUAGGAUUACAUCAAGGCUCAUCCUUAAGUCCUUACCUUUUUGCGUUGGUAAUGGAUGAGUUAACAGGACAUAUUCAAGAUGAUAUUCCUUGGUGUAUGCUUUUCGCAGACGAUAUAGUGUUGAUAGAUGAAACUCAAGAAGGGGUAAAUGCAAAGAUUAACCUUUGGAGAGAAGUGUUGGAAUCUAAAGGUCUUCGCCUAAGCCGAUCAAAGACAGAAUAUAUGGAGUGCAAGUUCAGUGCAAAUGGAGGCCAAAAACGAGUUAGGGGUGAGGAUCGGAGAUCAAGAAAUACCAAAGAGCGACCGUUUUCGUUACCUAGGAUCUAUCUUGCAAAAGAACGGAGAAUUAGAUGGAGAUCUCAACCAUAGAAUACAAGCUGGAUGGAUGAAGUGGAAGAGUGCAUCCGGCGUGUUGUGUGACCGCCGUAUGCCACUGAAGCUCAAGGGAAAAUUUUAUAGGACGGCAAUAAGGCCGGCGAUGCUGUAUGGCACAGAAUGUGGGGCGGUGAAGCAUCAACACGUACACAAAAUGGGUGUAGCGGAGAUGAGGAUGCUUCGUUGGAUGUGUGGGCACACGAGAAAGGAUAAGAUUAGGAAUGAGGAUAUCCGGGGUAAAGUAGGAGUAGCCGAAAUUGAAGGAAAGAUGAGAGAAAAUCGGUUACGGUGGUUUGGACAUGUGCAAAGAAGGCCUACUGACGCUCCGAUUAGAAGAUGCGACUAUGGGACAGAGGUUCAGGGCCGAAGGGGUAGAGGAAGACCCAGGAAAACUUUGAGAGAGACCCUAAGAAAAGACGUAGAGUACUUGGAUCUAACGGAGGACAUGACACAGGACAGAACACAAUGGCGUUCUAAGAUUCAUAUAGCCGAUCCCACUCAGUGACUUGGAUUUUUCCAAGUCUCCAACCGAAAAGUUUGUCCUCGCUCGGGAAAUUAAGGGAACACUACCUCAACCUACAUGCUCCACUCACAAAGCUCCAACAUACAAGCUUCAACAAAAGAAAAUUCAAAGAACUUAGCGAAGAAGGCUUUGGUGAUUUAACACAAUACGUUGAAAUGAAGGAAAGCUUAUUUAUUGAUAUCCCCGAUAAAUUACAAAUAUGUACAUAUACUUGAGUCAAAAUAAACAAACAAGAGGAAGCCUUCACAAAGGUUGCUUAGGAGAAGUCUCGGCAGUCGGUAGAGCCCCAGAAAGAGAAGGCACCGGAGGGGGAUCAUUCGGAGCCUCAGUACUGGACAGAACCCUAGAAGGAGGAGGCAUCAGAGGUUGAUCAUUUGGAGCUUCAUUACGCGGUACAGCCCCAGAAGACGAAGGCAAUAAAUGCCUUUGGAACAAACCCACAAAUCUCUGAUGAUCAAGUAAAACCUGACCAUCAGAUUCCUUCAUCUGGUCAAGCUUCCUCUUCAUGUUUGUAGCAUAGUCAUGUGCGAGCCGGUGCAACUGUUUAUUCUCAUGCUUGAGCCCUCUAAUCUCCUGUUUGAGACUCAUCACUUCAGCCGCCAAUGAUUCAACUUGGCGGGUUCGAGCAAAUAGGUGUUGGGCCAUAUUAGACACAGAACCUGCACACUGAACACUAAGAGCCAGAGAAUCCUUAACAGCCAACUCAUCAGACCGUUUGGAAAGUAGUCUGUUAUCUUUGGGAGUGAGAAGGUUCCUGGCCACUACCGCAGCGGUCAUAUCAUUCUUCAUAACGGAAUCCCCAACGGUAAGAGGACCAGUAUGGGAGACGAAGGAUGGGCGCCAUAUGUUGUCUGGAGAAGGUGGGGCUGCCUCUUCAACAAGGUUCAAGUCAAAACGACGGUCGGAGGGGCCAGACAUUUUCAAAGGUGUAGAAGAGAGAAGAGGUCGGACAAAUCAAGAUCUUAGAAGUGCAAGAAUGGAGCUUCUACUGGUGGAUAUUCAAGUGUGCUUUGGAACUUAAUGUCAACCUCUAUAAAAAUCUGCACUCGACGAAGCUUCAGAAAUCGAAGAGGCGUUUGCUUUCUCAAAAGCUGGGCUGCUCAGAGACCACGAGGGUCGAUCUCAGAAAUCGAAGAGGCGUUUGCUUUCUCAAAAGCUGGGCUGCUCAAAGACCACGAAGGCCGAUCUCAGAAAUCGAAGAGGUUUGCUUUCUCAAAAGCUGGGCUACUCAGAGACCACGAGGGCCGAUCUCAGAAAUCGAAGAGGUUUGCUUUCUCAAAAGCUGGGCUGCUCAGAGACCACGAGGGCCGAUCUCAGAAAUCGAAGAGGUUUGCUUUCUCAAAAGCUGGGCUGCUCAGAGACCACGAGGGCCGAUCUCAGAAAUCGAAGAGGCACCUACUUUUCCAACCUUGUCAGCACCUGUCACACGCACACUCAGCUUUGCGGAAAUUAUGGGCAUUCUAUCGAAGAUUUCUGGCGAAGUAGAAAGCACAUGAAUCGUACUGUUCAAUCACCCACUUCCCACACGCAACAGUAGCUCAUGGGUACCACAUAUAACUUUGCCAAAGUUCUCUGACAAAGUUGAGACUACUUUUCCAGCCUUGUCAGCACCUGUCACACGCACACUCAGCUUUGCGGAAAUUAUGGGCAUUCUGUCGAAGAUUUCUGGCGAAGUAGAAAGCACAUGAUUCGUACUGUUCAAUCACCCACUUUCCACAUGCAACAGUAGCUCAUGGGUACCACAUAUAACUUUGCCAAAGUUCUCUGACAAAGUCGAGACAUGUGAAGCUUGCAACUCUCACUACAUCGCUCUGACCAAGAAGGGUAAAAGAAUAGCAAAGAAACAACACUAACAAAGUUUAGACACAUAAAUUUUGAAGGGCUAGCUACCAUAUUAUUACCCACAAGGGUAAAGGAACAGUACCACUGCUGGAUAAUUGGAAAGUCCCUGUGUGUCAACCUCUGUGCUUCAUGGCAAGGUAGACUAGCAAACAUGCCCAACCUUUACUCACAUUCGAAAAAACACUCCCAACAAGAUUGCUUGCCCCAAAAUCGAUGAGGCAUCGCCUCCGAAUCUCGAGAGCCAGACUCCCAACAUGAUUACUUUCUCAAAAAUCGAAGAGAGGGUAAAGGAACAGUACCACUGCUGGAUAAUUUGAAAGUCCCUGUGUAUCAACCUCUGUGCUUCGUGGCAAGGUAGACUAGCAAACAUGCCCAACCUUUACUCACAUUCGAGAAAACACCCCCAACAAGAUUGCUUGCUCCAAAAUCGAAGAGGCACCGCCCUCCGAAUCUCGAGAGCCAGACUCCUAACAUGAUUACUUUCUCAAAAAUCGAAGAGAGGGUAAAGGAACAGUACCACUGCUGGAUAAUUGGAAAGUCCCUGUGUGUCAACCUCUGUGCUUCGUGGCAAGGUAGACUAGCAAACAUGCCCAACCUUUACUCAUAUUCGAGAAAACACUCCCAACAAGAUUGCUUGCUCCAAAAUCGAAGAGGCACAGCCCUCCGAAUCUCAAGAGCCAGACUCCCAACAUGAUUACUUUCUCAAAAAUUGAAGACACCGCUCUCCGAAUCUCGAGAGCCAGACCCCCAGCAUGAUUGCUUUCUCAAAAAUCGAAGAGGCAUCGUUCUCCGAAUCUCGAGAGCCAGAUCCCCGACAGGAUUGCUUGUUCGAAAACCGAAGAGGCACCACUUUCCCAACUUCAAGAGCCGGAUCUCCUUGGAUAAAGCUUGUCUGUAAUCUUCACACGCAACAUCAGCUUUCCAGAUACCACAGACCACUUUUUCAAAGUGCUCUAACAGAGUUAAAACUUGUGAAGCUGGCAGCUCCCACUACCGUGCUAUGACCAAGGAGGGUAAAGGAAUAGCAUUAUUACUUGAUGUUAGGGAGACUCCUAUAUAUGUCGACCUCCAUCCCCAACGAACAGGCAGACCUGCAAAAAUGCUCAACCCUUCCUCUUAUCUGAGAGGGCACUCCCAACGAAGCCUUUCGAAAUAUUCAGCUUUCUUUCCCCCCGAUAAUACCUCUGUAAACAAGCUAUACUAGAGCAAGAAUAUCUCAUAUCAUCAGGGUUAAAAGCAAGAGUAUCCCAUAUCAUGCUUUUUCCCUGUCUUUUCCUUUGGCCUUGUUCUUACUUGCAAGACAAGGAGAAAAGAGAGCAAUCAGUCAGCACUUGGAAUCAAGCUUCCAGCCAGGAACUGACUGCCUGGAACCCCUUACCCUGGCAUUGCUCUCGAGUACUCAUCUUCAACAUCUUAUGCUUCCAGGGAAGAUACCGCAUCUGCCUGAGGAACAGAUAGGGCAAGUGAGAAGGAUACAAGGAAGCAUGUGGAGACAAGCGUAACAGCACACGUGCCGAUACAUCCACUACUCUGUCAAAAGCAAAAGUAUCCCAUAUCAGCAGGGUCGAACGUACUCUAGAUUUGAUGGACUUGUUUUGACCCUCAAAUUCUUCAGUCGGCCUUAUACUUUGGAGGAAACCAUAAAACCCUCCAGCCCAGUUCAAGAAUAAGCCUGUGGAAAGUUACUUCUUCAAAAGCAAAAGUAUCCCAUAUCAUCUCUUCUCAUUUUUCUUCUCUUUAUCCUUCAUGCUGCCUGCAAGAUAGGGAGAAUGUGAACAAUCAGCCGGAGCUCUGAUUGUUUACCUUGUCUGUUACCUCUUUCAGCAGAUCCCCUAGCUCGGCGACUUGGGGGACUCCUACUACAUGGUUUGUAUCGCGCUUGACCAAGCCUGAAACUACAAGUAAGCUUCAAGUGACAUUGAUACAUUACCUUGUGCAUCUCCACCAGUUACAGAUACCACCCCUGGAUGGAGGAAGAGUACUUCCAGAGAAGAUUCCACAUCUACCUAUGAGACAGAUAAGGAAAGUCAAGACGAUACCACACUCCGGUACUUAGAAGUUUCGUGGUUACGAGAUCAUUCUCCCACAAUAUUUCCUAAUGUCAUUUGUACUAAAUCAUUCACUUGUACUCCCUAAAGGAGAGCUUGAACCUAUGUACUUGUGUAAACCCUUCACAAUUAAUGAGAACUCCUCUAUUCCGUGGACGUAGCCAAUCUGGGUGAACCACGUACAUCUUGUGUUUGCUUUCCUAUCUCUAUCCAUUUAUAUACUUAUCCACACUAAUGACCGGACCAAUCUAGCGAAGAUCACAAAAAGUGACCGUUUUCGCUACCUAGGAUCUAUCUUGCAAGAGAACGGAGAAUUAGAUGGAGAUCUCAACCAUAAAAUACAAGCUGGAUGGAUGAAGUGUAAGAGUGUAUCCGGCGUGUUGUGUGAUCGUCGUAGGCCACUGAAGCUCAAGGGAAAAUUUUAUAGGACGGCAAUAAGGCCAACGAUGUUGUAUGGCACAGAAUGUUGGGCGGUGAAGCAUCAACACGUACACAAAAUGGGUGUAGCGGAGAUGAGGAUGCUUCGUGGGAUGUAUGGGCACACGAGAAAGGAUAAGAAUGGGAAUGAGGAUAUCCAAGGUAAAGUAGGAGUAGCCAAAAUUGAAGGAAAUAUGAGAGAAAAUCGGUUCCGGUGGUUUGGACAUGUGCAAAGAAGGCCUACUGACGCUCCGGUUCGAAAAUGUGACUACGGGACAGAAGUUCAGGGCCGAAGGGGUAGAGGAAGACCUAGGAAAACUUUGGAAGAGACCCUAAGAAAAGACUUGAUUACUUGGAUCUAACGGAGGACAUGACACAAAACCGAGCGCAAUGGCGUUCUAAGAUUCAUAUAGCCGACCCCACUUAGUGGGAAAAGGCUUUGUUGUUGUUGCUUCCUUUCCCUUUCCGGUCCUUUCUUUAUCAUUUAUUUUUUCUGCUUUCUUCUUUCUUCCUUUCCCUCACCAUGUCGGUACCCAGGCUUCAACCUUCACUGCACGAUCGCACGACCUCGACACCCAGGGCUUCAACCUUCACCGCACGAUCGCACGACCUCCGACCAAGACCUCGACACCCAGGGCUUCAACCUUCACCGCACGAUCGCGGAGCUCAACCUGGACCACCUCAACAAGGUGUUCAUGGCCGUCGGGUUUCUGAAGACAUGAAGACGAAGUGGCCGGUGGCGUUCACGAUCGUGCGAUCGCGGAGCUCAACACGGACUCGCUACUGUGAAUGGAGUACAUGAAGACGAACCGGCCGGUGGCGUUCACAAGGUCGACGGGAGACGGCCUCCAGUUCAAACUUCCUUCGGACGCCAUGCUGGCGUCACCAUGGCAUCAGAUAGGCCGGUCCCAAGGUCUGUCGAUUUUAGGCCGGCCUGUGGACUGGCAUGGGCUGGGUGCCAGUCAAUUGGGUCGGCUAGAGCAAAUUCACUGGGUCCUGGCCUAUUUUUUCGGCUGGGUGCUGGGCAAAAAGUCCUCCAGUGGACUUGCUCUUACUAUAUAGAAUUCAAAAUAAUUAUACGAUUGCCAUUUUUUGUUUACCGGUCAACUGUAUUCCCAACGACCUUACCCGCACAAUCAAUCUUGAUAACCAGGUUUCCACUAACCUCCUUGUACUCGAUUGUGUUCGCAUGCAUGAGCCAAGGUAGGUGCAUUACUAUUUGCAUUCUGAUAAACAACAAUGAUUUUUUAUGAAUAUUGCAGACUAGAAUUUCCAAUCAUUCCCAAGGGAGAACGGUUCAAUCAUAACAUCAUGGGCUAAGAAUACAAUUUCAUGUUUAAGUUUUUCUCCACAUACAUCACGUUAACUUGGUGUUUUUUACUUUCCUAGCAUGUUCCCUUCUGUGCAUUUUCAGCUUUUAAAUAGUGACUUAUUAGUGAAAAAGCAGAUUCACAUGACGAAGACAUAAGUAUAAAAUUACUUGUCACUAAUUCAGUCAUCAAGCUUAAGUCAUCUAUUUUAAUCUUCAAAAUUAACACAAUAAGCUAGAAAAUUCAGUUCAUGAAAAUCUUGCUCAAUGUUGUUUGACUUGUUUCCUUUCUUAAACGUUUAGAUGCUCAUUAAUUAUAUGCUAAUAAAACUUGCUCUUCAUCUUCAAAUGGAUCAUAAUCCAAUAUAGCUCUGUUACCAAUUAACUAGCAUAACUACAAGUCUACAAGACAACUUUGGUAAAUCCGGUGCCGGCAGGAUCAUUUUCUUCUUCUUUGUGUUGUGUGGCUCAGGUUUUUUUUCAGUCUUUUACAAUUUUAAAUUGAUUGUCUCUACAUUAUCUACCAUGACCUACGAACAAUUGAAACAAUCACCCUCCCAAAAUAAUAUGAUCGGUGUUGCAAGGGAUUGUAGCUUAGUUGUUUACAAGCAGAUAUUUUUUUAUUUUUUUUAGUACAUCUUCUUUAUGUUAAGGAAGAGAAGAAGUUUGGCUAAGCCACACAAUGAAUAGCCUAAUUUGAUAUCAAAUUCGUCAUCUACAAUAUUCGAACCUAAGGCCUCUACUUAUAAGUGAGGAGGAAUAUCAUUAGAUCGUAGUACUAGGUGUUGCAAUUAGUCAUUUUUUUGUUGAGAAUAAAUCUCAUAUUAAUGAAAUGAGAGACUUUGUAUGUGCUUAUAAUAAGUAGUUGAGGUACUCUCCCUAUUGUCAAAUUUUUUUUGGUGGAACUUCAACAUUUUUCAUGCUAUCAAAACAAGUUGUCUCAUGUAUGACACAUAAUGGCUUUACGUGAUCCAUAUCUUUCGAGUUGUAUUAUUCACAUGUUAAACUUAAAAUUCGUCAUACGUAACGGAACAUAUUAAGAAUGAAUCUCAUAUUAAAAAAAAAAAAAAGACUUUGAAAUCUCAAGUUUAUUCUAUUUCCAUCCAAAGUUCUAUAUUUGAUUUCCCAUCUCCAAAAUCGUUCCUAUAAAGAAAAAGAAAAAGUAUAACGUACGUGUAGGGCUUUGGAGAUAAGAAAUCAAAUAAAAAGACAACAAUAUGACCCCACGAAAAGUACAGAGGGAAAAGAGGAGUCCUUCUUUGUGGGCAGAAAGGUGCAGACUUGUUAUAAGUCUUUCAACACCUAAUUAUCAAAAGCAAAUUGCAGAGUUCGAGAGUAGUCUGGAUCUGUUGAUUUUUAUAAUCUAUGGAAACAAGUCCCUUCAUCUGAAAACUUGUACGCAGUAAGUUCCUCUUGCAACUAUAUAUGCGAAAUUCAUUAUUUAUUAAUGAAUUAUUUCAUUUUUCUUGAAGUUUGUAUAUUUAAUUAAAGAUUUCAUCAAUAACCAGCUAUAUAAUUUGUGCUGUUUUCAGCCUUGAUUAUUCCAUCAUUCGGUCUGGAUUUGUUGACGAUAAGUGCAAACAAGUGCCCUCAUGACCUGACAGGCUUCCAUGUAACUGCUGCUUGCUUCAGAUCAUG
Molecule: long non-coding RNA, 52249 nt
Filed under: Malus domestica (apple)
Lineage: Eukaryota; Viridiplantae; Streptophyta; Magnoliopsida; Rosales; Rosaceae
Description: long non-coding RNA (MDOM_LNC009898)
Source: RNAcentral